UGAAGAGAAAGGUAAGAGAGGUGAAAUUAUACAUUAUGCAAAAUCUAACUAACCCAUGAGAAAUUUUUUUACCAAAUAUUGAUUUUAGUAUUUCCUCUUUUAAAACAUCCAACAGCUAUAGGUAAUUAAAGGUGGUAAACCACAGUCGAUAAAAAAUUCCAAGCCAAGACCUCAAGAAAGGAAUAUGGCACAUAAAGUCAUUAAAGUGAAACUCAAAGGCCUGCAUGAUUAAAAUACUCUGAAAAAUUAACAGCAAUGUGAAGCAAGGGAUGGGUAGAGCAGCUUAUGCAGAGGUGAAAUGAGCAAAUAGUAGUAUUUCACUAGAAAUCAUAUUUUAUGGUGGAACUUUCAGCAUGCUCUACAUCAUUUUCACUCCAUAAUCCCAAAAGAUUAUGCCUACUACAAGAAAAAUGAGCCAGUUACUUAACUAAAAUGUGCUUUGUACUUAAGAAAGAAGCACAAGGAUAAAUUCUUAUCCAUUUAAGAAAGAAAAAUAGCUCCUAGUGCAUUCAUAAUUAACAUAUAAAUGAUGUUUUACUCAUAAAUGUAAUGUAUAUGCCCUGCUAACAUGGUAUAUUUAUGAAGUUUCAUCAGUAAUCUAAUAAAGUUUAUAUGUCUACUGCAAACCCCAUUAACUUUUUUUUUUCUUUUUUUUUUUGGAUAGGCAAACAAAAUUAUAUUAACAGCACCAAUCAAAAAAAAAAAAAGGCACACCGAAGUACACGGGACAUAUGCAAGGGUGCCAAAUGGCAAAGAAGGAGAAAGAAACAAAAAACUUCCCUCCCAUUAACUAGAUCCCAACCAGUCAACUAGUUCUAAAAUAGAUCCCACAGUUUCAAGCAUUGGAUGUAAUUACAUCUAUACGUUUUCAUAUUAGACUCAAUAUAGAAAACAACAAUCAAUCUGUGUUUUAAGACUACAUAGCUAUUAACAUUGAAACUUAAAACUUUGUCGCCAAGACAGAACUUAGGAACCUAGCCCAUUAAACAAAUAUAUGAUAGGACAGUAAAAUACAGAAGUACCAUUUUAGAAACGUUUAAGACAACUGAAAAAGGUUGAAGUAAUAUUAAAUGCUAAUAUUUCACAACCGGAACCAUCCUGGUGCCAAAUUAAGCACAACUCAAUCAUAAUCAGUUAUGUUUGAUAGAAUAUCUAAAUAAAAUAUUAAGUUUAGCAUACCUGCAGAAAGAUAUGGUUAUGUAUAAGUAAUUACUUUGUGAGAUGGAAUCCACAUCAUACCCAAGAACAUGGCAAGUCAAGCUUGUUGAUGAUCAAACUAACCACUGUAAGCUGCAAUACAUGAAACUACUAAAACAUCUUUUAAUUAGUAUUAUUAUGUACAGUUUGAAAGGGAAAGGGGAUCUGAAUGCUAACGAAUUACAUUCAGGUGCAUACAUAACUUAUGGAGGAGACCCUGAUUAUAUUAUGAACAGAAUAUAAAAGAGAUAAAACAAAGAGUUCAAUCAAUAUACAGUACAGUUAUUCAGCACUAUAUGGCUUUUGUUAGGGCACAGCUGCCAUAUAGGAGCUGGACUUGUACAACCAGUGCACCAUAGCAUCAUAAGCCUGAUCCAAGUAAUGUUAACACACCAGUUAUGGGUAUUGAGACAUUUCAUUUACCAUAUGGCAGUAGAACCAUGACUUCAUGUUAUUGAACACUAUAGCUAUAAUUAUAUUAAAUCAAUUAUUUAUAGCAAAUAAAAUAAUGUUCAAUUAACCAGUACUGACAAACAUGCAGUUGAAAACUUGAUGAACUUUAAUUAAUUGUGUCCAUGCCAAUGCAUUUAGAGGUUGUUUGAUAAUCAUUUAGGGGUUCUUUGAUAAUCAUAUCAAGUACAGAGAACUUUGAUAUAUAUAUAUAUAUAUAUAUUCUAUCCAUGCAAUGCAGUUGGUGAUACAAAAAUUGUUAUCCACUUAAAAAUAAGUUAAACUUGGAAAAGGGCUUCUGCAAACAGCCCUAACCGUAUACAGAAAGCAUGAGAUGCUCCAUUGGACUUCAGAAUUUUCUCACUUUGAAGUUCUAUUUUUGCUCUCUUUUUCCAUCAAAAUGACACCCUUCUUCAACUUUGUAUCACAUGCUUGAAACAGUAAAGCAAAAUUCCCUUCACCUCCUUCACAAGCCAAGGUAUUUUUCCAAAUUAUGAUUUUAACCUGUGUUUUUUUUUUUCCUUUCUUUGCUUCUAUAGAGAUGAGACUUGUUUUGGUUGGGAGUUCCUUCCCUCACUCCCUCCCUCUCUCUCUGUAGUUUUGUGGAUUGGAAUACAUUCACUUUUUGGAAUAAUUAAUUUUUUUAUUAACGCACCAAUUUUUUUUUGGACCAGGAUUCUAUACACAAUAUAAAUGAUUUUUUUUUUUUUCCCACACUACCAUGACAAUUGACUCACUGGAUCUCAUCUUCUGUCCUCUCACUUGGUUUCUUUUUGCCUUCUUCCUGCUUAGCUUCUUUUCACAGGAUCACUCAUUCUUUUUUGUAAAUUCUUCCCUUCUAUAAAUGAUAACAGUCUUGUUUCUUGUCAAAAGAGGGAAGGGGAAGAAGAAAGUUUGACACAAUUUGGCCUAAAAUAUAUACAAAUGCAACAUCUUCAUUUCUUUUUCCCUUUUUCUAUGCUUUUUUUAAUUUUUUUUCCUUUUUGGGUAGGCUUUGUUGUAAGGUCUCCUAGUGCAGAAAAAUAGCAUCUCAACAACCAUGUGAUUUGUAACAAGUACCAUCUCAACUACUAAGUGGUUUGCAAGUACACACCGAUGCCAUCUCAACUACCAUACCAAUGCUCUCCUUUAAGUGAUCAAAGAAGCAGAGUCUAAAGUACAACCUGGUAUAUACCUAUUUGAGAUUAAAAUCCCAAUGGUAUAAAAUAUUCUACUGCAAGUAGCAUAUGAAAUUUCAAAUAAAAUAUGUAGCAAAAUUUGAAAGUGAGUAAAAGAUUCCUUCCAAGUGUUGAAGAAAAUUUAAUUUUCUUCCAGAUGAUGAUACUAUAACUGGAUUGGAGUCUAUAAUAUCUAGUGAUCACCAAAUAACCAAGACAUUUUACUAAGUCUGCUUUGUCUACCACACCUUUCCAAAUUGAAAUUGAGAUCUUAUUUAUCAAACUAGUUCAACAGAAUUUUCUGAAAUUCGGUACAUAAAUGUCAAUAAAAGAAUGCCAUUACAAGAGUAUAAAGAAAAGCUUGUUGAGUAAAAAAAUUUAAGAGUUUGAUUGAAUUCCACACUAAAAUUUCAUAUGAUAUCAAUUGGUUUUUCACUUUUUUAAGUUCAGAACUCAAAAGCCUUCAUCACUAUGCUAUAAUUUUCACUGUCACUAACCAUCCCCUUAAAGGGCUUACCAAUGCCCAUAUUUGAUGGAUCUGAUACAUAUCCCACAGCAGCAUUCAAAUCAUGUGGCUGACACUGGCACAUGAGGAAAAGGAACUUAUACACUGUCACUAACCAUCCCCUUAAGACAGAGCACAAAGGAGAAUGGGGUUGAACUGCUGAAGAUAUAUCAAGGUAGUUUGGCUGUUCCCCAUGUCUACAGGAUUAUUUGAGGGAGGAGGGAAACCUUGGGAUCUAGAAUUGUAUUGCAGUUGAUAUCCCAAUAAAAUUCAAGCAGCAAGGAUUAAUAAAACAUUGAAGCUUUAGAUUUAUCAGUUAUGGAGGAGAGAAGAUAACAGACUGUAAAAGCAAACUGUGUUUGCAGUAUCCUCGUUGAAGAUGCUCAUGUGCAGCAGGGUGCAUAAAUAUGCAAGUGUCUAUUACCAUGAUGGAGGAAAAGAAAAUUAAUGACAGGAUUUCUGGCAUAAUUAAAUGAUAAUCAGGUUCAGCAUCAUUUCUGAAGCUGAUCACUACUUGUGUUUACUUAGGAAACUCUUAAUUAGUGACUGAAAACUCCAAUGCUAUGUUUGGUUCUGGGAAAAUUGGAGGAAAAAUGGGAGAAAAAAAAAGUGAAGAAAAAUAAAAAAUAGAUUUAAAAGUUAAUAAAUUACUUUCACAAGUUUCUUCAAACUAAUUUUACUUAUUUUUCACUCUUCUCUAUAAAGACUAAAUGAUUUUAUUUUCUUUUAUCUUUUACAUAGUAAAAACAUCAUAAGAUCAAUUUCCUUCAUUUUUUUUUUUCCUUUCCUUAGUACUUUCCCAUAACCAAACAUAACACAAAACUAUCAAUCAUUUCCUCAUUAUUUACAGAAGCACAAAAUAUUAGUAGUCAGAUUGGUUUUAAAUUGACGGGAUCAGUAGCUUAUUGGUAUUCAAGGGAGUUCAUCUUUGCACUACAAGUACUUUUUAGGUAAGAUUCCCAAAUAACUAUGGAUGGUUUCUAUGAAAAUUUCUACACGGGUGUAACAUUAAAACACCAUCCUCAAGCUCAAGAAAUCAAACAUGGAAACUGGAGAUUAUGAAAAUGCUAACAUAGAACUACAGAAUAACAGAGGAAUCAAAGAAAAUAUAUGAAAGCUGUCGUUUUCUAUCUGAAUUGGACGAUUUACAAGGCAAUAUAACUUGAGUUACACAAUUAUUCGAAAUCAUUCAAAUAUCAAUAUAAUUCAAGACCCUAUUUUGUACAAUAUACCCCAACAAAGCACAUGAAUUCCCUAAAAAAAAUGAAGUGGAAAAAGGAUGAGCAAGCUACAACAAAUCAAACAUAGCUAUAUGAAAAUUCAACUAUAUUCACGAUCAGGAUUUGAAGCAAACCGAGGUUCUCUCCCUCCAUCUAGAAGCUUCAAUAAUGCAAUGGCCUUGCUCUUCCCUUUGGGGCUUCCACCAUCUGCAACGACUGCAAUGCCAUCGUACAACCCCAUCCCCGCCUCCCUCAUAUCUCCGGCGAUCCUCUCGCCUCCGCAUUGCACCAAAUUCAACAGCGCUGACACUGCAUUCUCCUUGGUCCUUAUACUUGAUCCCGUGGAAGGAUCGAGCAAGUCCACCAAAAUCCCAAUUCCGGAGACCUUCCGAAACGCGUCUCCACCCUCCUCGCAUCCGGCGAUCUGCGCGAUCACCGCCGUGGCGUCCUCCACGAUUCCGACGCGCCCGUCCUUCACAGCUAGCGUGAACAGCGCCGCCACGGCGCCGAGCCCCACCAUGGAGGCGCGGUUGAGCGGGUAGAGGGAGAUCCCGAAGAGUGCCUUGAGGGCAUCCUUGAUGGACCUUGGCGGCGCGUGGGGGGUACGUAUAAUGUCCACGAGUGCGUAGACGAUGUCGCGCUUUGCUCCGAUGAUGGGGCGGUAAUCAUCAUCAACAAGAAGGCUGUAGAGGGUGGCGGCGCAUGCCUGGAUGGCGGCGGGGGAGGAGGAGGGGGAGCGGAGAGCAUGAGAGAGAGCGUCGAGGAGACCGCGCGUGGACAUGAGGAGUUGGCGGCUGGAGAUGGAGAGGUUGAGGAGGGUGGCGGCAGCGUUUUCUUGUUCGAGGGGAAGGGCGGAGUAAAGAGUUUCGCAAAGGUAGGGAACAGCGCCGGCGUCGGCGAUGAAGCAGCGGCUGUCGGGGUCGUGCUUGGAGAUGAGGCGGAGCUCACAUAGUGCCUCGGUUCUUGUUUGCUGAGAAACGGAGCUGAGCCUGGCGACUAGAGAUCGAGCCGUGCGACGUUUCACUUCCAUUGUUGGGUGGCGCCUGGUGGUUGAAACUUGAAAAGGAAACAAGAGAAAAAAAAUGAGAGAAAUAGCAAGGGAUCGGCCGCAAUUUUUUAACUAGCAUCUUUCACAGCCAUUUCCAUUUUCCACCGCCUCCGCCUCCAACUCAUCGCAGUCUUUUCCCUCCUUUAUCCGCACGCACUUUGACCACUGCUUUGCUUUCCCACUUGCUCACAACAACAACGUCUCGUCAUCUCUAAAUAUUUUUCUUUUCUUCCUUAUAAAUCAUUUUCUAUUUUAAAUUAAAUCAAGUUUAUUAAAAUAUAAAAAGAAAAAAUAUUAUGAAAAACAACUUCAUAUUUAAUAAAAAUUUCAUGAUAUCAAAUUUUAUUUUUAUUUCUUUAUUUGAGUUAAAUUAUAACAAAUAGUUUAAAAACAUAAAAUAAACAAUUCACAUGUAGCUAAUCGAGAUUUUGGUCUGUUCAUAUUUUCUCAAUUCUUAUAUCCACAUCUUAAAUUACGAGUUUCGCAUUUCAUUGGGUAUUUCUUGUUUUUUCCUCACAUCUUUUAUCACACAAUACUAUUUUUAUAAACACAUUUUCAUUUCAAAACUUUUUUUUACUUAAAAUAUUUAUAAAAAUAUUUCUAAUAAUUUUUCUUAUAAGAAUCUAUUAUUACAAUAAUAUAUCAAGUUGAGAAAUAUUCUUUAUAAAAAUAAAUUUAUAUUAUUGGACAAUGUUUGGUUCCCAAAAAAGUAAUAAAAAAAAAAUUUAGAAAAAUUAUUUUUUCAUAUUUGAUUUCAUCACGUGAAAUACAAAAAAAAAAAAUCAAAUAUAAUUAUAAUUUUAUAUAUUUUAAAAUUAUUUAAUCCUUCCAUAAUAAAGGAAAUUAAGUUAAAUAAAUUUUAAAAAAUAUAUAAAAAUAAUUUAUUAAUUUUAAAUUUAUUUUUUAUUUUCAUUCACUUUUUCUUUAUUUUCUUUAUUUUACCUUUUACUUCAAAUUUUAAUAUAGUCUUAAUCGAACACUUCUCAACAAAUAAAAAGGGCUUGGGAGAGUUAUGUUCAUAAAAUAGUAUAUGUAAUUUAAAUAUUGGUUUUUCGAUAUUAAAAUAACAUUUAAUGUUUGUAGAGGGGUGAAGAAGUUUGUUUAAUAAUAAUAAUUGAAGUGUUUCUCCAUCCCUCUUGUUAGGGACUUGUUUAAUAACUGUUUUUGAAAAUAAUUUAAAAAAAUUAUUUUUGAAAAUAGUUUCUAAAAAUUAUUAUCUGAUUUUUUAGAAUAAAAGUUUGUUUAAAAAUCUAAAAUAUUUUUAAUAUUUUUAAAAAUAAAUUUAUAUAGAAUGUUUUAUUUUUAUCGAAAAUUAAGUGAAAAUAAUAUAAAAUAAUUAAAAGAUGUUUUUUAAAAAUAUUUUGUUUCCGUUUUCAAGAAUAGAAAUUAAAAACAUAUUUUUUGUAUUUUUUAUUCGUAAAACAAAAAACCGUUAUAAAAAACAAUUACGUGCCUGCCGGUAUAGGUGGUUGAAACGUGGAAGACAUUUCCACAUUUGUAUAUGUACGGAUGUUGUCAUUCCAUCCGUACUAUACUCAUCUUCAUAGAUUUACAAUUUAGCUCCCUCAUUAACAUUACACAUUAUAAAGUUAAGAAGGUUUUUUUAUUUAGAGGUUGGAGAAUAGUUUAAUAUUGGAAACAUUUUUUUUUUAAAAUCGAAAAAUAAUAAUAAUUUGUAUAUUAUGUAAAAGAACUUUUAGAAACUUUUUAAAACUUGCUAUCUCAAAUUUAAAUUUUUUAAAUAAUUUAAAAAUAUAAGAUAAAUUUAUAUAUAUAUAUAUAUAUAUAUUUAAAAUAUUCUACUUUUUUAAAAAGGUUUUUAAUUUAAAAACAAAAAAAAAGUGUAGUUUUUUUUACAUUUAACAUAUGAAUAUAAACUUAGAAAAUGUACUUAGUAUCGAAGGAUUCUUUAAAGAAUUUGGGUGAUUAGUAAAUCAAUUUAACAACUUAAUGAUUUAAUUUAUAUCAAUUUUAAACAUAAUUUUAUAUUUAAGUAAGAAUAAGUUUAUUAUUUUAAUUUGAUAUUUAAAGUUGUUUUUAAUUUUAAGUUGUGAUAUUAAAUUAUUUAAAAAAAAAAUCGAGAGUGAUAAAAUAAAUGGUGUUUGUUUUUUUAACUAUUUGCUUUAAAUAAUUUGUUUAUAGACUUUAAAUUUGAUUUUUUAUUUUUUUUAUUUAUUAUAAAAUUUUAGUUGAAUAAAAAAAAUCAAAGUAUUUAACUUUUUUUAAAUAGAAAAAAAAUAUUAGUUUUUUUGGUUUUUUAUAUGAUAAUAAAAUAUUAUAAAAACAAAUAAAUUAAUAUUUAAUAUUAUUAAUUACUAUUUAGUUUAAAGUUCUAAAAAAACAAAUCCUACUAAUGAUUUUUAGUAGUUUAUCAAGAAAGGUUGAUAUGGGGGCCACUCGUUCCGAACCCGAUGAUUGUCAUCGUUUGUCAUUCAUAGGUAAGCUCAUUUAUGGAUGAAAAGCUUAAAUGAGGACAAAGAAAUUGGGAGUGUUGGACAGCCCACCUACUACUCCAAGACUCCAAGACCCAGGUGAAUGCAUGCAUUCAGCUUUAGAUUCAUUCAGUGGCUUUUGAAUUAUUAGAUAAGACUCAGUAUAUGCUUUUGUAGUUUUAGGCGUGUUGACAUCUGCCUCUAGAUAAGGUUUGUUUACCGCACCUUAUUAUUAUUAGCUAACGUCCCAUUCACAUUUAUUUCUCCCUUCCACUUUCUAUUUAUUAAAAAUAGUAUUUUUUUUUUUUUGCUUUUUCCAACGUGGCUAUUUUUAUUAAAUAUUAUAUUUUUGAUAUGCUACCAGAAAAUAAUCAAAGGCAUGGUUCGGGAAAAUUAAAAGAAAGAAAAUAAGAAGAGAAAAUGAAGGAAAAUAAAAAAUAAAUUUAAAAGUAAUAAAUUAUUUUUAUAUAUUUUUUUAAAUUUAUUGUACUUAGUCUAUAUUUGGUUCUAGAAAAUUUUGAAGAAAAAUGUAAACGAAAAAAAAUAUAAAGGAAAAGUAGGAUUAAAUAAAAAGUGAAUAAAAUUAAAAAAAAAUUAAAAAUUGGUAAAUUAUUUUUAUUUGUUACUUUAAACUUAUUUUACUUAUUUUAACUCAAUGAUAUAAAAAUUAAAUAAUUUAAAAUUUUACUUAUUUUAACUCAAUGAUAUAAAAAUUAAAUAAUUUAAAAAUAUAUAAGUUUUUAACUAGUUUUAAUUAUAUUUGAUUUACUUUGACAUUUUUAACAGGACAAUCAAAUAUGAAAAAAAUUAUUUUUUUUAUAUAUUUUUUUUUCUUAGUAUUUUUUUUGGGAGAGAAAUAUAACUUUAUUUUUUUCGAUUAUACAAAAAUUCAAUAAUUUUAAAAUGCAUAAAUUUAUAAUUAUAUUUGAUUUUUUUUUUAUAUUUUUUAUAAUGAAACCAAAUAGAAAAAAAACAAUUUUCUUUAGUAAUUUUUUUUCUUUCCUAAAUACUUUCUAGGAAUCAAACAUAACCUAAAAUAAAUAUGAUAAAAAAAAAUUAGGGUUUUGUUGAGGUGAAUGUUAAAUGGUUUUUUAAAUUAAAAAGAAUUUUUAAAAAUAAUAUUUUGUUAUUCUUAAAAAAAGAAGAAUUAUUUGUGAGCUCAAUUUUGAAAAAUAAUUUGCUUUGGUAGAGCAUUGUGUUUUUAUUCUUUUACGAUUAGUUUGACAACUACAUUAGAUAAUAAAAAACUAUUUUAUGUUUUUUGAUCUUAAAAAUAAAAAAUAUGGUGAGAACUUUUUUUAAUUGUUUUCACUUAUUUUAUGAGAAUGAUUUAAAAAAAUAGUCAUAGAAAUACAUAGAAUGAUUAAAAAUAAAGCAUUAUACAUGAAAAUUAUUUUAAAAAAAAUAUUAAAAACAUAUGAAAAAUAUUUCAAAUUUUUAAAUAGAUUUUGUGUUAUAAAACAUUAAAAAACGGUUUUCCAAAACUAUUUUAAAAAAACUACAUUUUAGAACUAUUUUCGAAAACAACCAAACAGAUCUCACUUUUUGAUAACAAAUUAAAUUACCAAAACAACUAUUUUGAGUCCAAAAUUGAUCCAAAUAAGUUUUUGACGGAAUUGGCUUUGGUCUACGGAAUAAUAUUUGAACAUCCGUGGACAUUAUCAAAGGGCUGUUAAAUACAACAUCCGUUUUUCUCCCCCGCACUACCUCUGUUGCACGACCUCGUCCAAACAAAGACAUAAAGUGGGAGUGGUAAUCCCUGUCAAAUUGAGUCCCUAUGCAAUAUAAAUGUUGCCAAAUGACCAUUUUACCCCUUCUCGUGGGCUUUCAUGUCCUGUAAUAUUGGCAUCUUAAAACAAAUUCAAUAAUUUUUAAAACAGAAAUGUCUCUCUUCUCCAAAAACAAAAGAAAAAAGAAAAAUCCGUUUGAUAAGUACAAAAUUAUUUUAUAAUUUUUAAUAUUUUAAAAAUCAAAUCAGAUGGAACCGUUCUGAAAACAUUGGUUUUCACUUAUUAUUUAAAGGUUAUUAUAAAUAAAUAAUUAUAUAAAUAUAUAAAAUAAUUAAAAUAAAGUAAAACAAAUUUUAUUUUUAAAACAUAUUAAAAAAUAUUAAAAUACAUUAAAAACAUUUCAAAUUCCCAAAAACUUGUUUAUUAUACAAAACAUUAUAAAUCAAUUUUUAAAAACUAUUCUCACAAAAUAUUUUAGAGAAUUGUUUUUAAAAAUAGUUAUGAAACACAUUCAAAUAGGACAAUACCAAAUUUUAGAAAACAACUUCUAUACUUAUAUUAGAAUUAUAUUUUCAAAAAAUAAUUUUUUAUUAAUGUAUGAAAAAAUAGUGUGGACUUGAAAAUAGUUUUAAUCCAAUGUAUUACAAAAAUAUCUUUUUGAAAGCAUGUUGUUGUUUUCAAAAUCCGUUGACUUUGCUAGCCCAAAGAAUCGUCCCCCCACUAAAGCUUUUAUUAUGAGGAAACACUUGUUCAAAAUAAAAGCAAGUUGUUCAUCAUUAUACAAUUUGUCUUUGUAGUAAAAGACCCACUAGGUGUAGAAGGCAAGUUGUUCAUUCUCUAUUGACUUAAUUUCUACUGAAUGACCUUUGGGUAUGAGCUUUCUCUUUGUAGUUGAAGUACUCUCAAAGUUUUUGCCGACGUCAUGAGAGCUCUAACCUUAGCAUACCAAUUGUACGGGUUUUUUCAGGUAUAUUUCAUAUCACUCCGAUCCAUCUUGAUAUGAUUUAGAAAAAAAAAUAUAAACGAAUUUGGGAUGGAUUCUAAUUUUUUUUUUAAACCCAUAAAUAAUAUCAAAUAAAAAAUUAUUUUUGUUGAUUUUUUUUUCAUUUUAAAACUUUUUUAAAUAUAUAUAAAAAUAUAACUUUUAAUAAAAAAAUUAUAAAUAUUUAUAAUAUUUAUUAAUUUAUAAAUUGUAUUUAUUUUUAAUAUCAUUUAAAAUUUUAUAAGUAAAAAGUAAAAAUAGAAAGGUUAAAACGUAAGUAGAUGAGUUUGGGAAUUUCCAUGCCUAUCUUGCCUUAUUUAAAUUUGGUUUUUAAAUAAAAAUACAUAGACGGGAUAGAAUUGAGAUAGAUAUAUUCCGUUAUGAACCACCAUAUUAUCAUCUCUGGGUUUUGGCAGGAUGGUUGGUGGCUAUGGUUUGCAAUUGCAAGAUUUAUUUUAUUUUAUUUUUAUUAAUGUGGGAAAUGAAUUAUGAAGUUCCCAUUGCAAGAACAAAAAUUUUUAUUCUUAGAAUUAAUUUUUUAUAUAUAAAAAUACAACAUUUUGUACAAAAAAAAAAGAAUUUAUUUUAUAACUUAAAAAAUCGCUUUAAUUUUUUUUAAAAGUUUGACACAUUAUUUUUAAAAUAAUUUUUAAAACCAUUAAUUUUUUUUAUGUAAAUAUUUAAAAAUUAUUAUUUUAAAAACAGAAAACAAGAAAUAUAUCUAGAAAUGAAUAGAUGUUUGAAAGAGAGGUGCAAUUUAGGUACCUUCCAAUACAAACCAAUUUUAAAUGGGUGUAGGUGUUCCUUUUUGGAAUUUUGGGUGGAAUUAGGCAAAAACAACCAACCUAAACUUGGGUCAGGACAUCCAACAACUUAAACCUAGUUGAAAUCCACUAUUUAACCACUUUAAUUGUAUAUAUAAGUAAUUAUAAGUAAGUAAAUUUUGUAUUAUAUUAUUUAAUUAGUGAUAUUUACACUUUAAUUAAAUUUUAGAAUUUAGUUAAUACUUAAAUAUUUUUUUUAUAUAAAAAUAGAUAGAUUAACUUCUUAUCUAUUAAAAUUAAAUUUUUUAUCUUGUACUAAAUUAUCACAUUAGAUUGAUGGAUCUAAUGUUCAUGAUAUCAAUAGCUAUAUGAUAAAAUAUAUGCUUAUAAGAAUAAACUUUCUUUUGACUUAAUAAUAUCUUAUACACUUUAUUUUUCGAAAGGCAAUGCAAUGCAAUUUGAUCCAACCCAAAUUUUGAUCUGACUAAUCCAUGUGACUUGCUUAACCUGAAUUUAACACAUACAUUUUUUUCUAAUUCAAGCUUAACCUGCUUUCAACUUGAGGUUUGGAAAAAAAAUGUUUGAAUUGAACUUUGAACAUAUGCAAUUUAUUCUUAUAUUGAACUUGGGUUAGUUAUCAAUCCGAUCCAAGCCACUCAAUUUUCAUCCCUAGUUUGAGAAGAAUAGAUGGAUAAAAUAUUGAAUGAAUUGUAUGAAAGAAGAUGAAGGGGCAUGUAACUAAUUUGGCUUAUUUUAUUUAUUUAUUUAUUUAACAAUUAAAAAAUAGAAUUAAAAAUUAUAUAAAGAUUGAGAGGGUAGAAAUGGAGAUGCUUGAAAGUUAUAUUUUGGCAGUUCAACUUCCCUUCUCUUUCUUUUAUUUUAUUUGAAUUAAAUUAUGUAAAAUGGCUUUAUGCAAAUAGCCUUUGUAUGUGUGAACAUUAUAUGUCGUCCUACAUUGUUGGCUACAUGUAAGCAUGUAAGUGGGAGAAUCCCAAAUUAAAUUCACUUAAGUCCCAUCAUCACUGAUUACCCAAACAAUUAAAAAAUAAAAUCUGGGUCCCAUCCGAAAGUGACCUUAGACAAAAAAAAUAAACAAAACUAAAAUUAAAAAAAGAAAAAACCGAAAAAAAAAAAACAAGUAAUUAAACCUUAAAUUGAUGUUUGAUACAUUUUCUAUUUUAUUUUUAAAAUUAUAAAUUUUUAUUUAAAAUAUAAGAACUUAAAAUUUCUGUGUUUUUUAAAAUCACAUUAUGACGUCGCUCUUCGCGUUUUACAAUAUUUGAAAGGAAGACCUAGCUAGGGCUUGUUGUUCCUAGCCCAAAAUGAUUUGAAGUUUAUUAUAUUUUGUGAUGUGGAUUGGGUUUGUUGUCUUACUAUGAGAAAGUUUAUUAUAAGAUGUUGUGUUUUUCUUUGAAAGUCACUUGUCUCUUGAGAGACUAAGAAGCAAACCACUGUAUCCUGCUCCUCAAUAGAAGCAAAGUAUAGAGCCAUGACAUAUAUCACUAGCGAGUUCACUUCGUUGAGAUGCUAACUUGGGAGUUGCAAAGAUGCAUUGUGAUAAUCGUGUAGUAUGCAUAUAGUAGUAAACCCCGUAUUUCAUGAGCGAACAAAACACAUUGAGUUAGAUUGUCAUUUGGUUAGAGAGAAAAUUCAAUUUGAAGAUAUGUAUACCAUUUUCACCUCUUCUCAUCUUCAAGUUGUAGACAUUUUUACCAAACGUUUGUGAACAACUCUGUUUCAUUCUCAUCAUUAUAAGUUACACAUCAUCCAUAUUCAUGCUCCAACUUGAAGAGGGUAUUAAAAGUGAGAUAGAAAGAAAAUCAAAUCAUAUUUCCAAAUGAGUAAAAUUCAGAGUUGAACAUUUGUUUCCCAUUUAAUGGUUGAUUUUGGGGGAUUUACCUUGAUUUGCUCUAAUUAUUUCUAUUAAUUUUUUUUUUUUAUGAUUGUUGACUUAACCAAAAGUAUAACAUUAUCUUAUAUUUAUUUUGGAGUCAUUCUUUGAUAGCUCUAUAAUAGUGAAAAAAAAAAUUUUCUCCCCUUCGUGGAUGUAAGCAAAUUGUCGAACCACAUUAUAUCCUUCUGUCAUCUUCUACUUUCUUUUCUAUGCUUUUAACUUGUUAUUCUAUUUUCAUCUUUCAAUUUUACACUUUCAAAUAAGUUUUACUUAAAAUAAAAAUAAACUUGAGUGAAAUGUCAUGGGUGCUAUAGGUGAUUUCAUAUUCUAUUUGGUGAUGCAUGUGAUAUAUUUUAUGUUCAUUCUUGUACACUAACCUCAUUUCAUGAUAGCACAUUAUUCGCUUGUUGCUAAGGUACGCACCCACUCUCACUCUGACCAUUCUCUACGCUUUGUUUUGGCUCCCAAUGUAUGAUCAUCUUUUGGUAUCCACGUUUAAUCAACCAAUUAUCACAGGUACUUCAUUUUAUUAGUAGAGACUCAUUUUUAGCAACUUAGAAUGAUGAUAUGGUUUUUACCGUACCUUCCCAAAUAGUAACCUGACCCUCGAGCCCCGAUUUGGUUUUUCGCAUAUCACAUUUUCCAAAUAAGCAGUCGCACUUAGGGUUUUCUUUCUUAUUUUAUUUACCAUUUAAAAAUAAAACAAAAAUAAGUCGCAACUCCAAGUCAUUUUCUUAAUAAAUAAAUCAUUUUUCAAAUAAAAAGCGAGUUUUGUCAUCGAGUGGGAACGCAUCAAGCGAAAAUACGGGGUCCACAAUAUUGAAAAAUAUUAAAAUACAUUAAAAACAUUUCAAAUUCCCAAAAACUUGUUUAUUAUACAAAACAUUAUAAAUCAGUUUUUAAAAACUAUUCUCACAAAAUAUUUUACAUAAUUGUUUUUGAAAAUAGUUAUGAAACACAUUCUAAAAUAGGACAAUACCAAAUUUUAAAAAACAACUUCUAUACUUAUAUUAUAAUUAUAUUUUCAAAAAAUAAUUUUUUUAUUAAUGUAUGAAAAAAUAGUGUGUACUUGAAAAUAGUUUUAAACCAAUGUAUUACAAAAAUAUCUUUUUGAAAGUAUGUUGUUGUUUUCAAAAUCCGUUGACUUUGCUAGCCCAAAGAAUCGUCCCCCCACUAAAGCUUUUAUUAUGAGGAAACACUUCUUCCAAAUAAAAGCAAGUUGUUCAUCAUUAUACAAUUUGUCUUUGUAGUAAAAGACCCACUAGGUGUAGAAGGCAAGUUGUUCAUUCUCUAUUGACUUAAUUUCUACUGAAUGACCUUUGGGUAUGAGCUUUCUCUUUGUAGUUGAAGUACUCUCAAAGUUUUUGCCGAAGUCAUGAGAGCUCUAACCUUGGCAUACCAAUUGAACGGGUUUUUUCGGGUAUAUUUCAUGUCACUCCAAUUCAUCUUGAUAUGAUUUAAAAAAAAUAUAUAUAAACGAAUUUGGGAUGGAUUCUAAAUUUUUUUUUAAACCCAUAAAUAAUAUCAAAUAAAAAUUUAUUUUUGUCGAUUUUUUUUUUAUUUUAAAACUUUUUUUAAUAUAUAUAAAAAUAUUACUUUUAAUAAAAAAAAUUAUAAAUAUUUAUAAUAUUUAUUAAUUUAUAAAUUGUAUUUAUUUUUAAUAUCAUUUAAAAUUUUAUAAGUAAAAAGUAAAAAUAGAAAGGUUAAAGCGUAAGUAGAUGAGUUUGAGAAUUUCUACGCCUAUCUUGCCUUAUUUAAAUUUGGUUUUUAAAUAAAAAUAAGAAUAAAAAUAAAAAGAUGAGAUAUGAACCACCAUAUUAUCAUCCCUCGGUUUUGGCAGGAUGGUUGGUGGCUAUGAUUUGCAAUUGCAAGAAUUUUAUUUUAUUUUUAUUGGCAUGGGAAAUGAAUUAUGAAGUUCCCAUUGCAAGAACAAAAAUUUUAAUUUUUAGAAUUAAUUUUUUUAUAUAUAAAAAUACAACAUUUUGUACAAAAAAAAAAUGAAUUUAUUUUAAAACUUAAAAAAUCACUUUAAUUUUUUUUAAAAAAAUUGAGGCAUUAUUUUUAAAACCAUUAAUUUUUUUAAUGUAAAUAUUUAAAAAUUAUUAUUUUAAAACAGAAAACAAGAAAUAUAUCGUGAAAUGAAUGGAUGUUUGAAAGAGAGGUGCAAUUUAGGUACCUUCCAAUACAAACCAAUUUUAAAUGGGUUUAGGUGGUCCAUUUUGGAAUUUUGGGUGGACUUACCCAAAAACAACCAACCUAACCUUGGGUUAGGACAUUCAACAAUUUAAGCCUAGUUGAAAUCCAAUAUUUAACCACUUUAAUUGUAUAUAUAAGUAAUUAAAUUUUGUAUUAUAUUAUUUAAUUAAUGAUAUUUACACUUUAAUUAAAUUUUAGAAUUUAAUUAAUACUUAAAUAAUUUUUUAUAUAUAAAAAUAGAUAGAUUAACUUCCUAUCUAUUAAAAUUAAAUUUUUUAUCUUGUACUAAAUUAUUGCAUUAGAUUGAUGGAUCUGAUGUUCAUGAGAUCAAUAGCUAUACAAUAAAAUAUAUACUUUCAUGGAUAAAUUUUCUUUUGACUUAUUAAUAUCUUAUACACUUUAUUUUUUCGAAUCAACUUGCCUAACCCGAACUUAACAUAUACAUUUUUCUCUAAUUUAAGCUUAACCCGCUUUCAACUUGAGGUUUGGAAAAAAAUGUUUGAAUUGAACUUUGAGUUAUAAAUCGUGUUUGAUUGAACUUUGAACAUAUACAAUUCAUUCUUAUAUUGAACUUGAGUUAAUUAUCAAUCCGAUCCAAGCCACUCAAUUUACAUCCCUAGUUUGAAAAGAAUAAAUGGGUAAAAUAUUGAAUGAAUUGUAUGAAAGAAGAUGAAGGAGCAUGUAACUAAUUUCGCUUAUUUUAUUUAUUUAUUUAUUUAACAAUUAAAAAAUAGAAUUAAAAUUAUAUAAAGAUUGAGAGGGUAGAAAUGGAGAUGCUUGAAAGUUAUAUUUUGGCAGUUCAACUUACCUUCUCUCUUUUAUUUUAUUUGAAUUAAAUUAUGUAGAUGGCUUUAUGCAAAUGACCUUUGUAUGUUUCAACAUUAUAUGUCGUCCUACAUUGUUGGCUACAUGUAAGUAUGUAAGUGGGAGAAUCCCAAAUUAAAUUCACUUAAGUCCCAUCGUCACUGAUUACCCAAAACAAUUAAAAAAUAAAAUCUGGGUCCAAUCCGAAAGUGACUUUAGACAAAAAAUAAACAAAACUAAAAUUAAAAAAAAAAAGAAAAAAAGAAGAAGAAAAAACCAAAAAAAAAAAAAAAACCAAGUAAUGAAACCUUAAAUUGAUGUUUGAUACAUUUUCUAUUUUAUUUUUAAAAUUGUAAAUUUUUAUUUAAAAUAUAAGAACUUAAAGUUUGUGUGUUUUUUAAAAUCACAUUGUCUUCACGUUUUUCAAGGCCUAGGUAGGGCUUGUUGUUUCUAACCCAAAAUGAUUUGAAGUUUAUUGGAUUUUGUGAUGUGGAUUCUGUUAGUUGUCCUACUAUGAGAAAGUCUACAAUAGAAUGUUGUGUUUUUUUUAUGAAAAAGUCUACAAUAGGAUGUUGUGUUUUUCUUGGAAAGUCACUCAUCUCUUGAGAGACUAAGAAGCAAACCACUAUAUCCCGCUCCUCGAUAGAAGUAAAGUAUAGAGCCAUUACAUCCAUCACUAGCCAGUUCACUUGGUUGAGAUACUAACUUGGGAGUUGCAACGAUGCAUUGUGAUAAUCAUGUAGCUUGCAUAUAGUAGUAAACCUCGCAUUUCAUGAGCAAACAAAACACAUUGAGUUAGAUUGUCAUCUGGUUAGAGAGAAAAUUCAAUUUGAAGAUGUGUAUACCAUUUUCACCCCUUUUCAUAUUCAAGUUAUAGACAUUUUUACCAAACCUUUGUGAACAACUCUAUUUCAUUCUCAUCAUUAUAAGUUGAGCAUUCUCCAUAUUCAUGCUCCAACUUGAAGAGGGUAUUAAAAGUGAGAUAGAAAGAAAAUCAAAUCAUAUUUCCAAAUGAGUAAGAUACAAAGUUGAAUAUUUCUUUCCCAUUUAAUAGUUGAUUUAGGGGGAUUUAUCUUGAUUUGCUCUAAUUAUUUCUAUUAAAUUUUUUUUUGUGAUUGUUGACUUAACCAAAAGUGUAAUAGUGAAAAUUUAUUUUUUCUCCCUUUCAUGGAUGUAACCACAUUAUAUCAUUCUGUCAUCUUUUACUUUCUUUUCUAUGCUUUUUAACUUGUUUUUCUACUUUCAUCUUUCAAUUUUACACUUUCAACUUGAGAUGUGGAAAAAAAGUUUGAAUUAAGUUCAAAUUGAAAAUUUUGAAUUAUAAAUAAAAAACAUAUUUAAAAAUAUUAAAAACAAAUUAAAAAUUAUUUAAAAAAAAACAGUUAGGAAACAGACUUGGUAGUUCAACUCUCCUUCUCUUUCUUUUAUUUUAUUUGAAUUAAAUAAUGUAAAAUGGCUUUAUGCAAAUGGCCUUUUCAACAUCAUAUGUUGUCCUAUGUUGGCUACAUGUAAGUAUGUAAGAGGAUGAAUCCCAAAUUAACUUCACUUAAGUCCCAUCAUCAACUAAAAAUUAAAAUCUGGGUCUGAUCCGAAAGUGACCUUAGACCAAAAAUAAACAAAACUAAUUUUUUUUUUUUAAAAAAAGAAGAAAAAUCCAAAAACUAAAAACAAACAAACAAAACAAAACAAAAUAAAGUAAUUAAACCUUAAAUUGAUGUUUGAUACAUUUUCUAUUUAUUAUUAUUAUUAUUAUUAUUAUUAUUAUUAUUAUUAUGAUUAUUAACGUCUAGAGGCUGAAGGCAAAACACAAGUCAAAAGUGAUAUUAUAUAAUGGAUUUGUUUUUCUUUCUUCUUCGUUUUUGGCUAAAUAAUAUCAUUUCUUAUGUUUCACAAAGCAAUUGACAACAUCUUAAUCUGCAGCCGAGUAAGCAACAACAAUGUCUAUACUAAUAAAGAACAUAAAAGAUUACCUACCUCUUGACUAUUGAAAUUGUUUCAAUAAAUUAUCACUGAUAAUUGGAGAGGGACAUCCUUGGUUUGUAAGCAAUCAUAACAAAAAUCUAUUGAUGACUUUUAUUAGCAAGUUCUAUAUAAAGUACUUGCUAAGAAUAUGGUGACUAAUCGUAUUCAUGAUAUGUAAAUACGUUUGCUUUCAAAAUAUAUUGUGUUUGGUAUGUGGGAAUGUAAAUGAAAAUAAGAGGAGAAGAAACAAAAUCUUUUAGUUUCCAUAAAUUUUAUUUUUAUUCUUAUUCUUAUUUUAGAAAAUAAUUUAAAUACACUAAUAAAUAAGAAUAAAAUUGAUUUUUCAUUCUCAUUCUUUAAUAUCACGUUAUAUUACUAAGUAAACUUAAAGUAUUCAUAUAAUAUAACAAGGGAUGAAUUGAGUAGAUAAUUUUAAUAUUUCUUUUUAUAUACUCAUCAUGGGUAGGUACCAAAGAAUUAUUUUGGACCAUUGGAUACGCUAGAUAGGAUCUUGAUCAUUCAUUUUAAUAGGUUUUAUUUAAUUUUUUAUUAUAUUUUAUACAUGUGGCAAUAUCCUAUUAAAUGAUGUGUGGAGGUAUGGUAGCGAAAAAUUGUUUUUUGGGUACCAUAGUUUGACCUCAUCCCAACUCUUAAAUUUGUUUUCUAGGUUCAUCAAUAUUGAAUCAAUCAAACCCAUUUAACACUUGUUCUACUUUUGGGAGAUCAUGCAUGAUGUCAUCACAUAUGUUAAUUUUUCAUAUAUAAAUGUACUUAGUGUUUCUCCUUCGUAAAGAAUUUCCCCACUAUCCUAAUCUUAAAAAAUUAUUACUAAAUUGUAUCUUUUUAAAAAUUAUUCUAGUUAACAAUGAAAUUAUGAAAACAAUAAACCCCUAUAAAAUAAAGUAAACAAUGAGGAGAGGAGGAAGAAAAGGGAAACUCCAAUUGAGAUACUUCAACAUAAAUUUAUCUACCUCCAUGACUUCUAAAAUUUAACCCAAGCUUCACUAUGUAAGUAUCCUUCAAACCAAAAACUUUUUUAAUGUAUGCUUUGUUUCUUAGUAUUAAUGGACUUUUACAAUAUUUCAAGGAUUCUUUCCUAAUAUUCCACCACUCCCGAGCACAAGAGUAGUAAAUGUAUCUUGAAGAAAAUAUAGGAUUAACUUUGGAAAAUGGUUACAAGUGAAAGAGUAGCUAGUCUUCAAGGGUGGACUUAGCAAGGUUUGCAAGUUUGGAAUAAUUACACCAAAAAGUGAUUAAAAGUCUAAAGGUUUGUUUGACAACUGUUUGCGAGAAUAAAACACGUUUUACAAACAAAAAUUAUUUUUCGAUUUUUAGUUUUUAAUAAUAGAAAAUAUAGUAUUUUUAGAUAUCAUAUUUUAUUUUAUUUUUUUUAAUUAUUUUCUCUUAUUUUUUUAUAAUUGUUUAAAAAAAAUAAUUAUACAAACAUAUAAAAUAAUUAAAAAUAAAAUAAUUGAUAUAAAAAUUAUUUUUUAAACAUAUUUAAAAUAUGUUUAAAAUAUUUUAGGUUUUCAAACAAACUUUUAUUCUACAAAACAUUAAAAUACAAUUUUCAAAAAUUGUUUUCGAAAACAAUUACCAAAUAAGGACCAAGAUUUCAUUAGAAUGAUAUGCAAGUUGGAGGUGAUUCAUAAAUGGUGUUUGAAAGCUUUAUUUGAGAUUUUUAAUAAUAUGCAACUAGUCUAUCAUGCCAUAAGCCACAAAAGUCAACCAUAUAUAUAAAUAGAAGAACUAGAAACAUUCGCAUCCAUAAUUUAAGAAAUGUUUAAUAUGAACAAGUAUUGGUUACAACCGCAAAGUGUUUAAAAACGAAAGCGUAAGACAAAAAGUGUUUUUGUAUCAUUGAGGAAACAUAAACUUCAAAGUGUUGAGGUGUUCGCCUUUUGAGUUCCUCAUUUAUAUAAUUAAUAAAUAUUUAAAAAUAAUAUAUAAUAUAUUAAAAAUAAAACUAAAAUAGAAUAAAUGAAAAACUUGAUAACAAGUACAUGAGAAUUAUAAAAAAGCAUACUAAUAAUUUCAUACUUUCACAAAAAAUCUUAACUAACUCACAAAAUAGCAAAUAGAGUCAAACACAUAUGACUAAACUUUUUCAACUUAACUCCUCUCCAAUGCCAUCAUUAUUACCGUCAUUCAAUGUAUCAAUAAUAGAAAAUUUUCAACUAUCAAAUCCUCUUAUUUCAUCUGUCAAAUUUAACUUCUUUUCUUUAUCUUGCCUUUACUUUUACCUAGCAUAAAAUAUAAAUUAGGUGAAAAUAUUACAAGUUCAUUAAUAAAUUUAAUCAAAUUUAUAAUUUAAAUUUUUUAGUACUUACUUGUAAUUUCAUCGUGUUUUCUUUUUUAGAAAUGUGAAGAAACCAUGUUGUCUAAUGGUGCUUGAGCCUCUUAGUUUUUGAAUGACACAAUUUUAAUGACAUCACCAUUUAAUAAUUUAUUAUCUUCAAACCAACAAAGAUCAAGCAAAAGAAAGGAAGUUGAUUUCUCUAUAAUUCAUUCAUCAUCCGAAAUAUGAUUGAGCAUCACUUGCAUGGACCUCUAUUUUCUCUUUACAAUCCAAUGGGCCUAGAUAGCGAGUUUCAAUUUAUAAUCUUUUAGGUCAUCUUUGAAAUGUUGAAAUAGAGAAUGAGAAAUCAAUUCUAUUCUCAUUCGUCAGUGUGUUUUGAUUAUUUUUUAAAUAAUGAAAAGAAUAUAAAGUUCAUUGUUAUGGAAACCAAAUCCUACUUUUGCUAGGAUUUUGAUUUUGAUUUUUUUUUUCAUAUAGGAUUAUGAUUCAAUUCAUUCUUAUCAUAUUUUCAUUCAUAUUCCUACUUAUCAAACACACUCUUAGCUUUAUGUCUUUUCAAAGUGGGUGUAGACCGUCCAUUUUGUACUUGUAGCACAUGUUUUGAAUGCAUACUUGGUGCCCUUUCUCUUUUCACCCUUGUAUAGUAUGCAUGUAGGCUCUUCUUUUGCUUAUUUGUUCUUGUACUAGUUAGUGGUCCAAACGAUAUUCGACUUUAAAACUAAUUUUUAACCUACUUUUAGAGACCUUUUAGAGGAAGUUUUGAAUUCACAGUGCGACUUUAGUGGUACCCUAAGAGCCCUUAAAGUUUCAAUGAGUUUGGAGGUUGAAUAGGGUUUCAUCAAUGUGAAACUCUUAUACCCCUUUUCGGUGCCUUUUUUCUUGCCUAACUUUUUUAAUCCUUUUUUGAGUUGGUUUUAUGAGAUUUUGUGUGCCUAAACUUGGGGCUUUGGGUCUCCUUGGUUGGGUUUUUAUUUGAGAAAGUUUUAAAGAGAAAUUUAGGCUUUGGUGGAGAUAAUGACAUGUGUCAAAAUCUCUACCCUCCCUUGGCAUAUAAAUAUGAGUCUUGAGGUUCAUUUUGAUAGACUCUAAUUUUUAAGGGAAAACUCUAUCCAUUUUGAAAGAGACAUGAAAGAGAAAAGACUUGAAGAUUUGAAGGCAAGCUUAGCUAUGUGAAAACACUUUUGCAUACUAGAAGCCAAAUAUUGUAUUUGGGGAGGAGUUUCUCAGGUAAGUCAUUCAUGAUUCUAAUUCAGUUUGUUUUCAUUCAUUUAUUGGAUCUUUAGAUGAUGAGUAUAUGAGUUAUGCAUAUUAAAAGAUUGUUUGGUUGGCUAUGUUAUUUUUCAUAUUUGGAUCCAAAUUUGAUUUUCUUCUUUCUUUUUGCUUUGAGUGCUUAUCAUAUGUUUGUAUAUAUGUCAUCAUCUCCAAAUGACAUAGUGCUUAGGUGUUGCUUAAGUCUUUCUUGACUUUUUUUGUUCAAUUCUUGGACUUAUUUAUUUAUUUAUUUUUUUGUAUUUUUGUUUUUUGUUUUUUGAGCCUAUUGAGUUUAAAAGCAUAGUAUUAGGCUCAUCUUGAUUUGUGAUUUGUGGUUUUCCUUUAUUUGCCUAUUGUGAGUUUCAAUUUUCUUUGGAUUUAAUGAUUUUUGGAGAUGUCCUCAAUUGAUUUGAAAAGGAAGAUUGAGAUCCUUAUGUAUUUGAUGUUUUGUUUACCCAUAGUACUUAAAGCCUUUUUUGUUAUUUUGUAGUUUCCUUUUCAAAACUAAUUGUUAAGUCUUGUUUUAAACUUAUUUUUAAUUAAAUUUCAAGCUUACUUUGGUAAGUCCAUUUCAUGGCUAAAGUUUAGGUUCAUAGCCAUGGGCUUUAACUUUACCAUUUUGCUUAAAAACAUAACUAAUUGCUCUUAUUUUUUGUCAUUUUUAAAGAUUUUCAAAUUUGAUUUUUAUGAGUCAUUUUUUAGUGCUUAUGAAUAUCAUUUUACAAUCAUUAGGAGGCUUGAAUUCAUAACUAAUUUAUGGUUAUUAAUGGUUUUCGCAUGUUUUGGCAUGCAUAGCUUGAAUUUACAUGAGAGCAUGCUUUUUUAUAUAUGUUUUUGUGUGUGUUUCAUCCUCUUUUUCUUAAAUAUGAGUGUCAACUUAACUUUUAGCCUAUAAAUAGAGCAUUAGAGUUCUUUUCUAAGAGUUUUGGAUUUAUUAGGUGUUCUUGGAUUUUCUUGGGGAAAGAAGAUAAUAUUAAAGAUUCUCAAUUUAUUUUCUUUAUUUUAAUCAAUUGUUUCUAAUUUCUUUUAUUCAAAAAUGAUUAUUUAUUUUUCUUUUGUGGAUUGUGUGAAUGAAAUCACCACCAUGAGAGACUAAAAAACUAUCUUAGAGUGUGAAACAUGAAAACUUAGGGUUAGAAACAAGGGAAAACAAUGGGUAAAAUCGAACUAAAAAUGAAAUGAAUGAAAGGAUUGUCCAUUCAUUGAUACUAAAGAUUUUUAGUAAUUAUUAAUCCCUAAUUAUUUGAGGUUUUGUUAUUGUUAUCUAUCCUAAAACAAAUCUACAUAGAGUAGUAAAAGCUUAAAUCCUAAACCUAAACUCAAUUUUCAUGCCCAUUUAUCUACUGGUAUUUCAAUAAUGAAAUAAAAUAUUAAAAGUUGGGAUAUAGAUGCAAUCCCGAGUUAUGGAAUUUAGGUUGAUCUCAUUGAACCCCACAUUUUGAAUACCCUAGAGUAAUUAAAAUUAAUACCCUUUUUUUGUUCGAGGCCCUAUACUCAAAGUUAGACUGUGAAACCUCAAUCUUGAAUAAUUUGAAUUAGAAAUUAAUAAUUCUUUUACUAUUUAUUUAAGUGUAUUUUUAUUAAACUCAAUUUUAUUCAAAUCAAUUUUUCAUUUCAAUUCAAGAAAUUACAUAAAAAAAAUAAAUUAUUUAAAUCUAGUUUGACAACUUCCAUAUGCUAGUCCUUGAUAAUGAUAUAUGGAGUACUACAAAAGUUGUAGUGACUCUUUCUUUGGUUUUUCUUGGUAGAAGUUGUUAUAUAAAAAAGGCUUAGGAUUUUAGACAAUAGAGAAUUGUGGUCAGCUGUUUUUUUAGUUAUGGAAUGCUUCUUGAGAUCUAUACCAUUUGGUGUAUGUUUGAGAUCCUUUGACUUUGAAUUGUAUUUUGGACAUCUUAUGCAUGUCAAAAAUUUAUUGCCCUGAUUUUUACCUCACCUCUAACUUUGUUAAAUAAAUUCAUCUUUUACAUACUAACACAUUCUCCUAUUUUGCACCUCUUGUACACCCUUUUACCAUUUAAAAUGAAUUUAUUUUAGAAGUGCAUAUAUGUUGUCUUGAUGAUAUGUUUAUAUAAAUUAGUUUCAUUUGAUAUCAGCUUAACCAUUUUUUAUCUGUAAUUUGAAUUACAAAUAUCCUGUACAUAUUGGAUGAUCAUUGCUUUGAUGAUAGAUUUCUUCUUAUAUUUUUAAAAUAACUCAUUCUAUCAUGUGUAAGCUCAUUACCCCUAUUUUGGGCAUUUGUAAGGUACAUUCCAUUUUCCCUUUGAUUGUUUAAUUUCUUUACUAAGUUUGUUAUACUCUUGGGUAAUCUCUAUUUAUUUAGCUUUGAUCCUAUGAUCUUCAAGUGUACACAAUUUAUAUAUUCAUCAUCAUUUUCUUGUUCCUUAUCGUCAUGCCUUGUAAUGUAUUUUGCUCUUAUUGUUUCUCAAUAUUUAUAAUCUACUACUUAAUUGUCAUAGUUUCCUCUAUUUGUUUAGUAGAAACCUUUUUAAGCUUUAAAGGGGUAUUAUCUUAUGAUAUCUUCUUAAGAAGUAAAUUGACCAUCAGAUUUAGGUUCGGUUUUUUACAAACAUGUUUUUCCUUAAAAAAAUAAUGAGUUAUUUUAGGGUUUUAUUUCUUAUUUUGUUUUUCCUUUAAAAAUAAAUAAAAAUAAGUGACAACUCUAGCUUUUCAAAAAUAUACUUUUCACAAUAAAAACGAGUCUUAUUGUCAAGCGGAGAUGUACGUGAAAAAUGUGAGUGCAUAGUGAGACAAAUAAAAACCCAAAUAAUCUUCAUAUGGUUAUUGAACUCGUUUCUUUAUAUUAACUUGCAAAAAUUCUAAUUAUGCUUACAAAUUUGGAGGUGAUAUUUGGUUUUUGGAGAGUACUGAGGAAGAAAAAAAUAUUAAAAAAAUUAUUUUCAUAUAUUUGGUUUUUCUAUUAAAAAUAUUAAAAAAAUCAAAUAUAAUUAAAAUUAGUAGAUACAUUUUCAAAUUAUUUAAUCUUUAUACAAAAAAAGUAAAAUAAGAUAAAUAAGUUUGAAAUAACCUAUAAAAUAAUUUAUUAAUUUUAAAUUUAUUUUAAAUUUAAUUUUUUUCUUUCCUUCAAAUUUUCUAACAACCAAACAUGGCUGCACACGGAAUCGAAUGCAAAAUACUGAGGGUGGGUCAAGAGUCAAGAGUGGGAUCGGUUCAUUUUGAAAGUGAAGUAUUUUCAUAUACUUUAGAAAUUGACAAAACCUUGAUAUGCAGCAGCUGAAUAAUCAACAAUGGUGUCUCCACACUAAUACUGAAAAUGCAAGAUUACCUGCCAAUUGACCAAAGAAGUUGUUUCAAUAAGUUUUGGACAUGGUCAAUUCAUUUGAUGGAGCCAGUCCCCCUACCAAUUCAUUUGAUAAUAAUAUCUUAGGAGAGGCCAAGUGAAGCCCAGUCCCAACAGCCAAUUUGGGUAGCCCAUCCCAGGCCCACCAGGCAGCAACUGGUAGAUUUGGGCCUCACAAUUCCUGAAUUCUGAUUUCUAAGCCCAGUUGGGUUGAAAGUUUUGACUUCUCUCAUUUUGGAGUUUGCUUCAAAUUCAAAAUACUAACAACAUAAAAAAUAAUUAAUAUAAAAAUAAAAAAGGUUAUUUUUAUAAACACUAAAGAGUUUGUUUUGCCGUAUGAUUUAAAAACAGUUUUCUAUUUUUAAAAAUAGAAAAUUAUUUUUAAAAUUUUUUAAUAUUAUUUAGCCAUUGUUAUUUAAAAAUAAUUUUUUUUUUUUUUUUAAAAAUGAACUCGUUUAAUCAUGUUUUUUGAAACUUAUUUUUAAAAAUUAUUUUUAAAUUAAAAAAUAAAAAAUAGUUUUUAAAAACAAGUUUAAGAAAACAUGGUGAUGGCCAUGUCCAAACGGAACUUCGGUAUUUUAUGUUUUAAAAAAUUACAACAAUGAGAUGUGGUCAUAUAGGGGCCUUAAGCAUUAAAAAUUGGAUAAGGGUUUGGUGGGUUUGGUCCAGGGAAGCAAACACAAUAAAGAAGCUUAAUGUCUUUGUUGGGGGUGUCAGAGAAUAAGUGUACACAGGCUAACCAAAUUAGGCAUCACAAGUCAACUUCAUGACCACACACCAUGGGCUCUUGCCGACAACAUUAGGAAUAAUAAUUGGAAAAAUUCUAUGACAUCAAUGUGGAAUUCACCGUAGGGAAAAAGAGCAUCCUCACCUCAGCCUACCUUCAUAAGAAUAAGUUGAGCCUCCCCAACUAUGUCCUCUCUCGUAUUUUUCGAAGAAGAGGGAGAACGAUUCUUUCUCCCUUGUUCUCAUCAUACCCUCUCAAGAAUUCUAUCCAAACAUAUUUGUCAAAUAAAGAGGUUCUUUAGGUGUCAUUCUAUCAUCUUUAAGGUAUCUAAAUAAUUUUAUCUUCUUUAGGGUAUAAUCUUGAGUCAUUUGUAGUAGAUGAAAAAUAUAUCAAAUAUAUGGAGUUUCUUUUUGUAUAUUAUAUAGAUGAUCUGAUCCAUAAGGAUUAUGAUUGAGAAUUGUUUGAUCGUCUUUCUCCGAGGAAGAGACGAAACAUAAUCAACUUGAAUUCAAGAUAGCUAUUCAAAAUCUUAGUGAAAUACUAAAUUUGUUAUCUCAUCUGUUUCGUGAAAAAAAAUACCAAUUGAAGUGGAGAGUUUCUUCAAAUAACAAGGAGUUGGGUUAACUAUUCAAUCAAAUGAUAUUGAGCAUGUUUCUCACCUCUUCUCAAGAGAAAAGUGGGUUAUUUCUUUGCAAAAUUAUGCUCAAUUUCAUAUGUGACAAUUCUACCAAGAUCUUUUCAUUAAUUGGGGGAAAAAUCCACACGAAUCGGAUUUUUUGAAGAAGGUAUUGAGAGAGAAUUGAAUUUGGUUAGAUAAUGUGUGAUUGGUAAAUAAGGAGUGGUAUUUUAGCAAGGUACAAAAUAGUCAAAUAUUCAAUAUAUGAAAGUACAAAAUUUAACUCGUGGCAUCUUUGGAGAUGCAUCACGAUGGUCCAUAACAAUAGCGAAUAUCAGUAUAGAAGUUAAAACCACCGCAAUGCACAGGAAUAUCAUAAUUUAUAGAUUUGAGAGACAGUAUUGAAAAACUUGAAACCCCUGCAGGAGCCACGUGACAUUGUACGACACCCUAAACUAUUCCAAUUUCCACUUCAUAAAAAUAAGAAGAGAGAGAGAGAGAAAAGUACACAAACACCCACAACCGGCGCCCACGCCCGACGCCCGUGACAUCUUCAACUACAGAACAAAACUCACCAACCAGACCCCAACUCACUCCUUUUUCGACAAGUCAAGGCAAAAUACCUAUCACAACACCGACAUCUAAUCAAAUGGGCUAAGUGGGUCAGGUGCACAGUUCACGGGCGACGCCCAGCCUUGAAUUGGGGACAUCGUAGAGGAGCCUGUGGUUCUGCUGCUGCAAGUUGGCAAUGACGUUCAGCACCGAGUUCACGUUGUCAGGGGCGGCUGCCAUGGCCAGGCAGGUCGUGCUGCCGGCGGUGCUGUGAAUCAGCAGGUUAUCCGGUGGCAGCGUCACGUUCAUGCCCGUGAACAUGAAGGUUAUCGUGGGCGCUGCUAUGGGCACCGUGUAGCAUGUGUCGAAUCCCCCCAGUGACGUUACUGUCAAGUUCCUCCCCACCCUGUUUCUGAACGCGUCUCUCACUGCUAUGUACGCCGGCGUUACGAGCCUCGUGAACACCGUCCCUGGUUCACAACCCUCUUUGUAAUUAUACUUCCAUUCGUUUACAAAACUAAAUCAUUCCUUAAUUCCCUUUCUUCAGUUAUAAUUCAAAAUUUUCAAUUUUAAAUGAAAAUGAUAAGUUCACUAUAGUUAAUUUCUUCGAAUUGUUUUCCGACGGAUAUCACAAAAUAUCAUAUUUAUCGACCGAUAUUAUAUCCGAAAAAGCAAUUCGAUAAAUCUAACUAAAGUACUCGGCAUUACUCACUAUUAAAAUAAAAUGUUUAAAUUUUAAACCAUUAAUUAUGUUAAUUUUUUUUAUCACUUCAUGUGAUAGGUGAUUGUUAAAGGUCUUUUAAUGAUUACCUAUCACAUCAAUGAGAUAUAGAAUAUGAUAAAGUAUGGCAAUAAUGUUAAUAAGUAUUAACAUUAAUACCUAUAUUGUAUAUGCAGUAGUGUUUACAAUUUUUUUAAGUAUGGAGGAAAAUUAACUAGAGAAAUAAAGAUUUUGUGAAUAGAAAAGGUUACCGGAGUCAAAGAUGGUGCCGGCACCGGUGGAGGGGUUGAAGGUGAAGGAGCCUGGAGGGACGUCCACAACUCUCCGGCCGACCCUAACUGCCAUAAGGUUGACAAAGUAAAGUGAUGGUCUUCUAGGGUUCUUGAGCAAUGGGGUGUACUUGAUCCUCUUGGGCUGCCCAACUGGGCCCAACCUCAGCGACCCAGAGAAGUUGAGGGACUUGAAGCUAGGCAAGCAGUAGGAGAAUGUGGAUUGGUAUAGGUUUUGGGUCUGGGACAGCAACGACAAGGGGCCUCGGCCCAGGCCCAGGAGGCCCUGCGCCGGUAGGGAUCCGCCGGUGGCCUUUUGUAUGCAACCGAAGCUGUAGCCGGGGACUGCAUCGGUGGCUAGGGUGAUGGUGUCCUGUGAGAGGUUGGCUGCUAAGGAGGAGCCACCAUAGGUGAGGUUGAAUGAGCACACCCCCCCACCGCAUGUGGGUUUUGGCACCUGAAAUUACGCGAAGAUCAUAGAAGUUAAAAAGUCUUUUUUUAUAUAAAGGCCCUGGUGACAUGUCAAGAAAAAAACAAAGGAAACAACACUCGGAGAUGUGAGUAAUGGUGAGAGUAAAUGCAGUACCUGCUUACACUGAGCAGCUUGGCAGCCAAGGGACUUGUAGGUAGUAGAGGCAGGAGAGUUAAAGAGAGUGGAGGAGCAGCCCAGACAGCCAUUGCAAGGAAUCCAAGCAACAUCACUGCUGGUGUCCAUGGCCAUGAGCAUGGUUUGAGCAGGAGUUCCAAUCUUAGCCCUCACAAUAUAAGUUGGGUUCUGGACGAUCUGCCUGCCUGAAGCAAUAGGCACUACAGAUUUGCGGGCGACAAGGCUAGAUAAAAACUGGAGCCUGGCCUUGUCCUUGGCCUGCAUUUGGAGCACACUCUCCUCCCAGGACAGUGGCUCUUUUGGCCUGAAUGGAGAGCAAGGGCUGUAGACAUGGAGGACUUGGAGGGUGGAGCCUUGGUCAGGGGUCUCACAGUUGGGCUGGGUGAGUCCAAGUGCCAGGGAGAGGAAGAGGAGGGUAAGGCAGAGUAGAGGAAACAGAGAAGGGAAAGAGAGCCUCAUGGCUGGGGAGUUUGAUGGUCUGAAUGUGGGGGAGAGGGAGAGAGAGAGUUGAUAUUUAUAUAUAUGGCUGAUAUAGUAUUAUUGUGGGUAGUGGGGUGGAAUGUAGCUAGUGAGACCAUGAGUGGGUGUAUUAUGGCUUGAUAACAGACUGUAUUCCAUUUGCUUUUCCCCUGUAUGGGCCUCUUCCAUCCAAUCCACAUGUCAUUUUUAUUUUUACUUUUGUAAAUUAAUUUAUGUCACAUUGGCAGAGGCAGAGUGUGAUCUUCUUGGCACUUGGCUUGUCAAGAAAGUGACUUAUAAAGGACAAUAAUGCCAUUUCCCCCCCCCCCCCCCCCCCCCCCAAGGGGGGAAAAACCAAAAUUCAGGUAAACCCCCCCCCACCAUUUCAGAAUUGGUUUUUUUAAAAAGUUUUNNNNNNNNNNNNNNNNNNNNNNNNNNNNNNNNNNNNNNNNNNNNNNNNNNNNNNNNNNNNNNNNNNNNNNNNNNNNNNNNNNNNNNNNNNNNNNNNNNNNAAAGGAGCCCCUUUUGGGGGGGGUUUUUUUUUUUUAAAAGGGGGGGGGGGGGGAAGAAGGAGGUUUUUUUUUUUAUUUGGGGGUAAAUUUUUUUUUUGGGGGGGGGGGGGGGGAAAUUCUGUUGGGAGCCCCCGGGGGGGGUUUUUUUGGGUUUUAAACAACAUUUUUUUCUUUUUUUUUUCCCCGUAUGGGGGCUUUUCCCCCCAACCCCCUAUGUUUUUUUUUUUUUUUUUUUUAAAAAAUAUUUUGUCCCCACUGGGGGGGGGGGGGGGGUUUUUUUUUGGCCCUUGGUUUUUAAAAAAAGUCUUUUUAAAAGGAAAAAAUUCCCUUUUCCCCCCCCCCCCCCCCCCCCCCAAAUGGUGGUAUAAACUAAAUUCAAGUUAACAUCCUCUCUAUGAUCAUGAAAUGGAUUUUAUGAUAUAGUUUUUAAAUGACAUGACAAGAUAAAAUGUUCUUGUUCUUGUGAUGGGGUAGGCACAAUUCAUCAGCGCAAAUCAUGGGGGGUGGGAGCCAAUAUGUUGGACAUGUUCCUAAUAACCCAAUAAUAAAUGAACAUUUUCCCAUAACGUAUUUCUACUCUACUUUUAGAUUUACAUGAAAAGUUGCUUUUUUUUUUUUCUUUUUUCCAAAAGUUCAUCUUCAAAAUUACAGUCCACUUAAAAUAAAGAGAAAAGAAAAGGUAUACGGAAAAUGUAUGUAGCUUUUCCUUCUUCCUUUUCUUUUAUUGACAUUGCAAUUCAAUGAUCAAAUUAUUGCAUGGUUCAUCCUAGCAUGACAUUCAAUUCUUAAAGGUGAUAUAAAAUACGAGAGAAACAAAAUAGAAAAAAGAAGUAAAAGAAAAAAAAAAAGAUUUAAAGGUAAUAAAUUAUUUUUAUAUAUUAUUUUAAAAUUUUUCACUUAUUUAACUUUUCUAUAUAAAUAUUAAAUAAUUAAAAAUAUACAAAUUCCUUAAUAAUAAAAUCAAAUAGAAAAAAAUUAUUUUUCUUUUCGAGAACCAAAUAUACUCAAAAGGUUGAGAUGUUAAGAUUUGUGCUUAUACCAUACCAUAGGCUUGUUAUAUUUCUUUUCGGUUUUGCUUGUGACGUGAAUAAAAUGAAGUCAACAAACAUAAGAACGUGGUGAGAAAGACUCUUGACAUUACAUUGACAACAAUUUUAUUUUUUUUAAUCUAAAUUAUUACUAUUCAUAUUUAGAAUAUAAAAUUGACAAAAUCACUUCCAAACAGGUAUAUUAGAAAUUUACUUAAAAUUACUUUCAAACAAGCCUAACUAGGUGAAAAGGGAAUUUGUCCUUAGUAUUCGACCUUUAUUUUCAUCAUCGAUAGAACCAGGAAUAUAAGACAAGAGGGCAAAAUAGAAAAAAUUAGUUUCAGGGGGAUAAUGUCGCAUAAAAAAUAUGUUUAACUUAAUCAUUAAACCUUCUUUCUCUUUAGCUUAGUGGAAAUUUAGUUUUUCAAGAAGACCCUUCCCGACGUAUGUAGACUAAAGAAUAACGUUAAAAAUAAAAAUAAAAAAUUACUAUCAAAAUCGAAAGAGAUGGACAUGAUCCGGCUUUGGUGCGUACAAUAAUGAAAGAUGAUAUGAGAUUCUACUAAAAGGUAAAAGAAAGGGUUGUUGUGAGUAACACAUAUGGCAUACCCCACAAGUUAAGGGUAAAAGGCUUAAAGUAGAGGCCUUGAUACGGCCGCAUCGAGUCAAUUUUUUGAAAAAUGCAACCGUUGAUGGACCCACCAAAAACACCAAGACAAAAUGCUUGAAAUCAUUCAUCCAAAUUCCUCACAGUGCUACUAUGUAUAUGAUAUCUCACACGUACACUUUCUCUAGUAAAACCCGCCAUCAAAGGAUCAACUGAAAUUCCAAACCAAUAAAUUAUUCAUCAUCAAAUAAGCUUGGGGCAAAAUGCCACAAGAAAUGAUGAAGAAUAGUCUUUUCCCUGACCAUGUUCAUUUUCUUUAUCUUGGUGGGGGUGUGGGAUGCUUUCAUUGGGAACUUAACCCAAUUGUCACCGUGUACACGUACCUAAAUAUUUGGUUAACUCAACGUAAAAGUUAAAAGCCCAAUUAUUGUUUUUUAAAAUAGUUGAAAAAAUAGUUUUUGAAAAUAAUUUGUGAUAACCGUUAUAAUGUUUUGUAAAAUAAAAUUUUAAAAUAUUUUUAAUUUAUUUUAAUACUUUUAAAAAUAAUAUUACUUUAUUUUCAAUUAUUUUUUUAUAUUAGUAUAAUUAUUUUUUAAAAUAAUCAUUUAAAAGAUGUUAUCUGAAAAUACUAUAUUUUUUAUUUUAUGAUUGUAAAAUAUGUUUUUUAUUUUAUAUUUUCUUAAAUAAGAGUAAAUAAUUUUUUUUUAAUUAUCAAAUAUGACUUGAGACUUAUUUGUGAACAUUUUCAAAAAUAGUUUUUGAAGGAUAAUUUUUUAAAAAUAGUUGUUUUGUUUUCUAAAAUAAAAUAUAUUUAGAAACCUCAAAUGCUCUUAGCAUAUUUUCUUUGUUUUUAAAUAUUUUUUAAAAGUAAUUUUUAUUUAUUUUUUAUUGUUUUCAUAUUAAUGUAAUUAUUAUUUUUUAAAUAAAUCCUAAAAAAUAGGUGAAAACAAUUAAAACGGUUAACAAAAAUUAUCAAAUUUGUUUUUGAGUCAUAAAAACAAUUUUAUGUUUUUUUUUUUUAAUAUGAAAAACAGUCACACAAGAGGUUGUAACAAUCUUAAGGAUAUUUUAAGUGGUGAGUGGAAUCACUCAUUAAGCUCAACUCAAAGAUUUGUUCAAAAUCCCACUAGAUCAAGAUAUAAUUAAUGGAUGUGUCCAUGGGAUACCUGUCAAUAAAGUCCUAGCUAGGGAGCAUUAUUCAACACAAAUAAAUGGAUAAAUGUGAAGAGAACAGAAGUAGCAUCAUGGGCUAUUAAGGAGCAAUGGAGCAUUAUAUAAUAUGAUAGUGACUUGAGGCAGUGAUUAUUUUAAUUCAUAGUAAGAUCUUGAUCUGAUAGUAUAUUUAAAUAAAAAUAAAUGGAGGAGGAGACAUAAAGGGGCAGGAGAGAGAAAGGGAGAUUCCCUUUAUGGGGUGUUUGGGUGAUGGGUUUUGUCUCUUUCUUCCCAUCCAUACUCUAGUGAUGAGUGAUGAGGAGGGAAAAGGAGCAAAACAAACAGCUCCAUAGUGCAGUCAAGCUCAGCUGUGUGGUAGAAUCAAGCUCACCCCUGCUUGUUUUGUCCAUUUCCCUCAUUCACAGGAUACUGCAGCCGACUGAUGAAGCUAUUUGUGGUUUGUCCACCUGUGAAAUGGGACAGCCAACUGUUUUCUGUCAUGCCCACCAGUCCUUACCCUAUUCUUUCACACCUAAAACUGGUUGGAAUCACGUUCCCCUUCAACUUUGGAAUCCUUUUAACCUUGAAAUGAUUAGGACCUAGCCUUGCUUAUAGGGUAGAUUGGAAUUGAUGUAACUUCAAUUUUGCCUUAUGGGUUUUGAGUUGUACUAAUAUCUAUUGGAUAAAAGAUUCACAUGAUAUAAAUAAAUAAAAUUAAAAUAUAAAUAAUAAGACUUUAAAAUACAUAUACAAUAUUAUCUGAUCAAUGAUAUCUUUUUUAUAAAUAUCGAAAAAAUAUAAACCCGAUUUUGUAAUGGGAAUGAAAAGUUACUAAAAAAAAAUGAGAGAAAGAAGCUCAAGUAAGGAAUCAAAUCCAAUAGGACAAAAAUGGUUGCACAUGAUCCAAUUUUGCAAUAUGAAUUCAUUAUCAUAUCACUACCUUAUUAUUGUAUGCUCCACUUCUAGAUGCCUACACUCUUGCAUGUUAUAAAAAUCAUCACCUAAAAGUAGAGUAAAUACAAAUGAAGACAGACGGAACCCCAUUUGAUUGGUCUCUCAAUUAUGGGUUCUGCAUACAAUUUGUUCACAAGUUUAUUUAGAGGGUUGGGUUUCUUCUUCUCACAUGAGUUUAGAUUCCCAAGAGAUAUAUAAAGUCUACAGCUGCCAUAUUUUGUUUUGGAUUUGAAGCUUUGGAUACCCAAAUCCUCAGAAAAGAGAAGGGAAAGUCAUGGAGUUAGAAGAGGCAUGUUCCCAUCUGGGACUGACUGGAUAAAUGGCUGGACAAGAGCCAUGGUAACACGUGACCCCCAUUAAUUAUUUCAAUAUAUUAAUGGGCAAUGGCAGCCAAAUAGUUACAGGAAAGUCUUUUUCCUCCUUCUCUAAUGGGCUAGGAGAGAUCAAUUUUUGGAAUGCUUUAAUGACUUGUAGGAAACUAAGGUUUUAUUGAGAGAAAAAGAAUCAGGGGAUUGUCUCCAUUUUCAUUAGUGUCUUCACUUUACACCCACAUAUUCAACUAAGUCUCAUUUUGAUUCCAAAAUGGUGGCAUGCUCUUGAGAUAAAUUAUAAUAAAAAAGGUAGUGGGCAUUGAAGUAGAAGAAAUUGGUCACAAGUGAGGUAGGUAAAGGUGACUAAGGAUGGGAUCUUAAAUGGUCCACACACUAUUAGGAAUUAGACAAAAUACAUACUUUACACCGAUUCAUCAUUAGACAAGUUUGGCCACAUGGAAUCUUCUAGUGCCGUGAUCCGAAUAUGCGCGCAUUUGGGUUCCUUUCACAUAAUUCCUAAUCAUUUUUCUUGUUUGAAAUCAUUUUCAGUUACCAAUCAUAUGUCUAUUGUCUAUAUGAUUAAAAGAAACUCAUAAUAUAAUUGCAAAAACUUUUUAUCCUAUCCGAUAUAAAAUAUUACAAUUAAUUCUCAAGUAAAUAUAAUAUUUUUAUCAUAUCCCAUGAAAUUGCGAGGUUAUUGUAUCAAAUAGAUAGACAUUCCUCAUUAAACCAAACAAACUCUCAUAUUAGGAUUAGAGAUCAGUUCUGAUGUUAUUUAUAAUAAUCAAUUUUUAAUUUUAUAGAUAUUAUCCGUUUUAUGUCCGAUGAGAAAUAUCACAAUUACUUCAUUUUUUUUUUCUUUUAAUUUAAGUGGGAAUGUAGUAUUAGGAUCAAGAUUUAGCCAUGUCUCCUGAAAAUCAAUUGACUAUCAAUAAGGCCAAAGUAAUCCUUUUUAUGUGUUUGGAUAUCCAUUAGGUGUACAAAAUGGGAUUUGACCUAUCCCACACAGCACACAAACUCGAUUCAUAGCAAAUACUUAUCUGAAAUGUCAUUUCUUAAUAGCCAUUUUUGCGGGCUAGAAGACAUGUAGGUGAUAGCUAUGAGACAUAUUUUAUGAUAGCAGUGAAUGAAAAUGGGCACAAUUGUAGGGGUACUCUUGAGGUUGAGGCAAACUUCCAAGAAAAUAGGUGAAGAAUCUGGGAGGGAGUAAAUGUGUAGUGUGGAGUAAACACAACGAGAUAAAAGAGUACGACACAAGAUAUGAAAAUUGGGAGAAGAAGAGGGGUGGGGUAUAGUGAGAGAGGUUAGAAUGGCAGGCCCAUAAGCAGGGAAGGUGACACAGAAAGGAAAGGGAAAGAGAUGUGGCAGCAGCACCAACCCUUUGCAGGCUUUAUUCAAACUUAGGGUUGCAUGGCCGCUUCUUUAUGGCCGACAACACAUCACCCCUCCACCCCAUUUUCAACUUAAGGUGGUCCUAGGAAUUCUCUUCCCCCUCCCCCACGCAAUAAAAUGAAAACCCCAAAUUAUAAGACUUUCUGAUUUUGGUCAUUUUCCCAUACAUUAUGAAAUGCAUGAAAGAAUGAAAUCAAAAUUAUAAUAACACUUAAUUUUAGUUUACAUCCCAUGUUUUAGCAUGCUUGAUAAAAAUAAACCAAAUAUGACAUUUUUUGGGGUUUUUUUACAAUUUUUAAGAAAAAUGUUUUAAAACCCGUCUUAUUUGGUAUAAAACUAAAUUGGAUCUGAAUUCAUCUUUUGAUAAGAUGGUUUAAUGUAAAUAUAAAACAAUUAGCAAAUAGUGGUAUCCAAUGUGGUUACAAGUGUUAUUUAUUUAUUUAUUUAUUUUGUUGAAAUAACCUUUUUUUAAAUAAUAGUUUAAAAAAAAAAAUACAAAAAGUUUGCUGGUGGAUUGGGUGUACUAGAAGCAGCCAUGCCCCCACAAAACCACUAACUAGAAUGAUAUUUUUCCACAAGGGACCACCCUGCUGCAGAAGUUGCUUUUGGCCUUCUUGUUCAAUGUAUUGACCACCGCAGCUUAAUGGGCCUGAUAUGGGCUCAUGUCUUGGGCCCACCAGGAUAUAUGCCCAUGUGCAUCAACUCAACUUGAAGAUAAUCAUCAAACUACUACAUUUUCUUUGUGAUUUUAGCAUUGAUUACAAUCCAUUCUAAUUGUGAUCUUCUUGGGCAGAAAUUAAACGUUGGCAUUAGAUUUGAUUCAUUAUGAUUUUGUUCUCUAGCAUUAGCUUUUUGUGAUUUAGCUUUUUGUGAAACUCAUAUAGGCCCAUGUUGAUUUAAAAUUGAUGCUCCCCAAAUGAUCAUUUAUAUGAAUAAUGUUGUCAUGUAAAAUGAAAUUUUCUUUUAUUGAAAAGAUAGCAGAAUUUAGCAUAAUUUGGGAAAAUCUCCCUUUCUCUUUUUCCUGUUAUUGGAGUUGGGUUUGGAUGUUUAAGUGGGUUGACCCAACCCGACCCAAUAAACAAGAAAAUAAGGGAGCUUUUUAUCAGAAACCGUCGGUAUUAAGAAUUUUUUUAAUUAGAAAAAAAGAAUACAUUUUCUCCUUUAAAUUACAAAAUAAAAGAAAGAAUACAAUUCUUCUUUACGAAGAAACAAAAAAAUUCUCUUGAAUUUAUUUUUUCUCCAUAAAAAAUAAAAGUCAAAACUCUUGUGCUGUGAAAAAAAAUAAUUCUCGUAUUUGUGGUUCCAUUUACAACUUGAAAAAAUAAAAUUAAUUACUGAAACAAUCAAAAUGUUCUAACAUUUUAGAAGAAAACCUGAAAGCUUUAUUUUACAUCACCUAUCAAUAAUGAAAAAACAAUACAAUUCCAAGGGAAAGUGGAGGAAAAUGGUGUGGAUGGCCAUCAACCAUGACAUUAAAUGAAUUGAAGGAGACCCAUGGGAAAAUGAAACUCUUUUUCAUGAAAGAGACUUAAGGUGAAAUUUGGGUCACGUUUGGUUGAAUUUAAUCUGAGGUCCCCUUACUUGCCAGUACCAUGUGGAAUUUAAACUGACUGCCACAAAAAGGACUACCAUGUGGAACUGAGGGAGAGAUGAUUUUUUUUGGUGAGAGAUGUCAUUUUGCCAGUGCUUUUUGACUGUUGCUCCAUUGGGCUAUCAUGGAUUACAUUCCAGUAACUACAUCCCACCAAGAUGCUGGCUUAAUUUUUGUUAGGGUUAAUUUCAUUUAUCUCCCUUUAAAUUUUGGUUAAAUAUACUUAACUCUUGUCGGUUUAAAAUUUUAUCAAAUACCUCCCCUAUCAUUUUCAUAUGAUAUUUUUGUUUAUCUCUUAUCUAAUUCAAAAUAAAAAAGGUAUUUGACAAAUUUUCAAACCGAUGAAAGUUAGUUAUAUUUAGCUAAAACUUCAAAGGAGGUAAAUAAAAUUAACAUUUUUUUUUUUGUUAAUUUUAGGCUUUCAUAUAAUUAUGGGAACCGGGACAUGUUUGGGAGUGAUUAUGAGUAAAUCAUAUUUAGUUUGUAGUGAUAAAUAAAAUCAUUUAAUGUUUGGAUAUAAACAAAAGAAAAAAAAAAUAUUUUAAUACUAUUUCUGGUAUUGUAUUAUAAAAAAAAAAAUGAUUUUUUUGGAAGAAUUUCUUAUAGGGAAAGCGGGUUUUCAUACGUCCAAAUGAAAAAAAAAAUCACAAAAUAGAAACCUUAAUUUAUAAAAUACAAAUUUCAAGCAACCAUUUAAAAAUAAUUGGCAUUUCAUGCACUUAGUACCUUUGAUCAUUCAAGUUAUGUCUUUUAAUAAUACAUGUACUAUUUUUGAAUACUGAUAAAUAUAUGAAACUUGAAUUAUUUUUAAAAGUUUCUAUUUUGUGAUUAUUUUUAUAUGGAUGUAUGAAAACACAUUUUUUUCCACUUCUUAUUAAGUGAUUGUCUGAAAAUCAAUUUCCAAUGAUGUUUUAUAUCUUUUAAAAUAAUUUUUUAAAAUUUUCAAAUACCUAAUUUUUAAGAGAAAAUAUUUUCAAACAUUAAAAUGCAUUUCUAAUCUUUUUCAAAAUCAUUCUCAAAUAGGUUGUAACUUUAGAAUUCAAGUCGAAAUAUCUUAUAUUUGAAACUUUUGCUUUUGUAAACCAUUGUAUUAUUAAAUAUUCAUAUUUGAAACUUUUACUAGAACCAAAUAGAAUUACAAGCCACAUAAUUUUUUGGAAGGCCAUCAUUUCAAUUUAGUAUGUUAACUAGUAGUGGAUGCUUAUGACUCACUUAGUAAAAAAAAAAAAGUAUGCAUUAAAAAAAAAGUGAUAAGACAAAUAUCAUCAUGUGAUAUCUCAACUUUGGAUUCCAAUUUUCCAUCUCACAAAUAUUUUCACAUACAUCACGUGAUAUCUCAACUUUGGAUUCCAAUUUUCCAUCUCACAAGUAUUGUCUUUCAUGUGAUAUCACAACCUUGGAUUCCAUGUUACUCUCAACAAGUUUCCUUAAAAAAAAAAAAAUAGUAAGUUUCAAGUUCAAGUACUCUUUUAGGCACACACACCAAAGAAAUAAAAAAUAAAAAUAAAAAGUAUCUUUUUAGAAUAGUUCUAUUUAGUACCAUUUUCAAAAAUUUAAAUAAUUUUUCAUAAAUAAAUUGUGCAAAUUGCUAUCAUCCUUUUAAAAGUAUUCAACAAAAGCAUCCUUCAUUUUUCACAUUUUCCUAUGAUAUCCUCUAUUUUUUAAAAAUUGAUCUCACAACCCUUAAAUAAUUAACUUACCAAAACAACUAUUUUCACCUAUUUUGUCAUUUAUAGACCAUUUACUUUGCUAAAUAUACACAUUUUUAUAUUUUUAUUUUUAACCAAUAACAAAUUAUAAAAUUUUCAAAAUUUUAAAUGAAUAUUAAAAUCAUAUUAUUUAUUCAAAAUAUAAAUAAUAACAUUUUAGAAAAAAAAAUUAACAAUACAUUAUAAUAUUUAAAAGAAUUACACAAAUUUUAAUUUAAUUUAAAAUAAAUAUUAAAUUAUGAGAAAUAAAUAGAAUGCAAAUAGAUAAUAAUUUUUAAAUCAAUAAUAUAGUAAUAUAUUUUGUAAAUAGUAAUAUUAAUAAUAAAAACACAAAUCAUAUAUUUAAAAAAAGAAUAAUAAUAUUUUACUAGAAAUGAUAAAAUAUGACUAUUAAUAUUUUAAUAAAUUUAUAAAUUUUAAUUUUUGGAAAUAAAUAAUAAUAUUUUAUAAGAUGACAAUAGUUAAAUAUAUAUUUGAUCUAAAAUAAACUAUAAAAAUGAGUACGAUUCUUUUUUUUUUUUUUAAUAUGUAAAUAAAUCAAGUCUUUCUAAUGGUAGGUAUGCAUUUACUUCUUAAUAAUUGAAAACAUAUCCUAAAUCUCUUUAAUCUAAUAAUUUAUGAUAUUACUUGACUCAAUUUUGUUAAAGUGUAACAAUGUCGUUCUUGAACCUCAUGAUAGGUUACCCAAAUGAUGGUGAUGUUGAAUGCCAUAAAAAUCUUGGCUUAUCAUCACUAAAUACCAAUUGGUUUUUCAAUGUAAUGAUCAAAACCUGAUCCAAAAAUUGAUAUUAGAACCAAGUUCAUGAUACAUCACAUUAGGGUACAAUAAUAUCAUUCUUAAGCUAAGGGAUAGGUCACUUAAAUGAUUGUAAUGUCAAAUGCCAUAAAGAUUUGACCUAUGAUUUUCAUGCUAGAAGGUAAAAGUUCAAUCUAAGAAAUUUUGAUUUCCAAAUUAUUUUUAAAAAUUACUAGAAAAUUUUGAGUCCUAAAUUAUUUUUAAAAAUGAUUAGGCUUGUUAAAGAAUCAAAUACAUCAAGUUUCACUUGAUUUGGAGUAUGUUUUCUUGGUGAAAAUAUUCAAAUAUAUAUAUAUAUAUAUAUAUAUAUAUAUAUAUAUAUAUAUAUAUAUAUAUAUAUAUAUAAUUAGCUAUGGAGGAGAAAUUGACAUAGUCACUUCGGUCUAGUUUUGGUCUAGAAAAUUCUAGUGUUGUUUAGCAUAAUUUUUAUAUUCCAAUUUAUUUUUAAAAAUAAUUAGGCUCAUUAGUCAAUUCAACACAUUUUUUUUGCUUGAUUUGGAAUUUGUUUGUCAAUUGAGAAAAUUUAAAAAAAAUCUAUAGUUGUGUAUAGAAAAAAAAACUGGACAUUGUCAUUUUGUGCCAAUUUUAAUUCAAGAAAUUUGGGUAUUAAUUCACUUGAUUUUUAGUUCAAACUUAUAUUUAAAAAUUACCAAACUCGUUAAUGAAUCAAAUGUAUUAAGUAUCAUUUUAGUUUGCCUAAUGAGAAAUUCAAGAGAGUUUAAAAACCCAUUGUGGAAACUAUAAAUCUUUAGUCCAUGCUUAAACAAGGGUAGUACUUUCAUGAGUGAACGUAGGUUUACUCAUGCCUAAGUUCUAAUCAACUUCUCUUAGUUGCCUUGAAUUUUGUUAUUAGGUAAAUGGAAUUUAAGGGUCUAUUUAGUUGGUGUUAUCGAAAAUAGUUUAGGAAUAGUCUUUUCUAUUUUUAGAAAUAAAAUUGUAUUUGAGAACUAAAUUUUAAAAAAUAAAUUUUUUUUAAAAAAAAUAUAUGCUUGGUUAAGUUAAUAAAAACAAUUUUUUAAAAUAAGUAAAAUAAAAAAACUUGUUUGGAAAUUGCAUUAAAAAAAAAAGAGUGUUUUCUUCAAUAACUUGAUAUUGUAGAUAUAUAAAUAAUUUUUAGAUUUACACUUCAUUAAAAUAAAAAAAUUAUUCCAUUUUGAAAAUUAUUUGUAUCCGUGUUAAUUUUUAUUAAACGAAUAAUUAAUUUGUAAACAUGUCUAACAAUAUUUGAUUUCGAUAAUACUUUUAUUCAUACAUAUGGUAAACUCCUUAAUUAUUUUGAAACUUUUUUUUUUUAAAUUAUAAAUGCAUCAUAUUUAGACAUGUUUUCAUUAAAAAAAAAAAAAACUCAUCUAAAUUAUAUGCAUAUUAAUGCAAUCAAUAUUAAUACAAAUAAAGACUAUAAGCAUUUAGAUACCAACAUCAUAUUUUAAUAUAAUAUAUUAAAGUCCCUGAAUUUAUAGAUGAUAGUUUUUUAGAUAAUAUAUACAUUCACUUAAUAAAUAAAAUAAGAAGAAAGACGAUGAAUAAUGAAGAACAAGUAACGAUGUUACACCCACAACAACUAAUAAAUAGAAGACGACUUUAAGGAUUUAUUAUAAACAUUGAAUGUCAUAACUCAUAAGUUGACAACUAGAUGUUGAGAAUCAUACCCGUCAACUCAUAUAAAGCAAUGCAAAUAUCCCUACAAUAUAAAAAUUGUUAAAAAGAAUGAAAUGUAAUGUAUGUAUUUCAUUGAUAUCAAUUUAUUUUCUAGUUAGUUAAAUAUACUUAUAUGAUAUAAUGGACAACAAUAAAACCAAUCACCAUUGUUCUUUUGUGUUUUUGACAUAAAAAUGCGCAUACGUCCACACUCAUAGUAACACAUGAAUCAUUUUGUUCAUCCUACUUUUAUAAUUAUAAAUCAAAUUUAUAAGCAAUUUGAUCAUUAGAAAUUAUAAUAUACAUCACAUAACAAUAAUGACAACUAGUUAACAAAUAUAUAUAAAUUUUAAUAUAUAAUUGAAGUAUAAACAAAUAUUUAGAAUUAAAAAUAAUGCAAGUCAUGGAUUAACAUUGAUAUAAUUUGCCUAUAUCACUUAGCAAUUUGAUCUCUACAUGCUAUAGCUACGACACUCUCAUCUAAUAAAUCAAUUGAGUGGCUUGUAUAAUUGGCUUAUAAUGAGACAUAAUCCUUAAUAUCGAAAAUUGUGUCUUUAAAACAUCAAUACACCUUUCAAUAAUAUUCUGAAUGAAUGAAUCUCUAUAAUUAAAAAGUUCUUUAUAUUAGGUUUGUUAUGUUUACCCCAAUAUUCUUGUAAAUAAUAUUACUCACCUCAAUAUGGUGGUAAAAAUUCAGAUGUACAAGAAUAACCAAAAUCAACUAAAUAAUAUUUUCCUUCACUUGGCGAAGGAAAAUGGACUUCUAGUCUAGUCAAUGCAUCCAAAAAAAUACAUGCAUUAUUCGUUGUUUCUUCAUAAGUGGUAUAAACAAAUAUGAACAUCAUGCCAAAACCACAUGUACACAUAACAUUUUGUAUUAUAACUGUUUUUUUACGCUUAAACUUAGUGUAGACCCCCUCAGCUAGGGGCAUGGGCGGGUUUUUAUUUUUAUUCAUUUUUUUUCUUCUUCUUUUCGGCUUUCUUGAUCCACCCGAGGGCGGCUGGAAGUGAGAGGGGGGAGAAAGAGCUAUCCUUAGGCGGCUGUAGGGAGCAGGAACAGGGGAGCAGGUGCUUGAUUUUCGGAUCUGGGGAAAAAGAAAGGAGAGGGCGUUCCAAAGAGGGGGGUGGCGGAGGAGAAGCGGGAAGUCCAUUUCACCAUUUUUUUUUCUGAUUCCAGGUAUGACUUCAAUCCGCUUUGCGCUUCUCGUUAUGAACUGUUCUUUUCUGUUUCUCAUUGUUCAUGGUUCAUGAUGCUUGAAGACUACAUGCAUUUCUCUGUUCUGGAACGCUUCAAAUAAAGAUCCAUUGCUGCUCUUGUUUUUUUUUUUAAAUAAAUCUUCACAGUCUCACCUUUCUCUCAUUUUUCUCUCCUUUUCUCUCUGCCCAAACAUCCUUUCCCGUGGUUCUCUUCUUUUUUUCUUUUUUUUUCUUUCUUUUUCUUUCCUUCUCUCUCCGUCUCCAUGGAAAGCCACUCACCUGCUCAAACACUUCUACCCCCCACCAACACCAGUUUUCUUCUCUAAACCAUCACCCUCAUUUCCCACCUGCAUGCAUGGAGCUUUACAUGCAUGGCCUUCUCCCUCUCCACCUUUAUUUCUCAUUAUUUCUUUCCAACACCGAACCCACCACCUGCACCAUCAUCCAAACCGCCACUAGUGUCACCACCUAAGCUGCUAUCCGCUUCGCGUUUUGCCAUCGCGGGAGGAGGUUUUCUGAAGCUUUACUACCCUGGCAAUGUGUGCCCGUAAUCCUGGGAAGAAGUUUGCAAAGAGGAUGACCCGCGCGCCCCCGUUCAAGGACGUGUUCGAUUCACUGGUUUCCUUGGCAAUGUCGGCGCCAGCUGUAGCUCUCGGUAUGCCGCCCCUAAAUCCUGUGCAGAUUGGUACAAUCGAUGGUACCGGCUCCGCCGCGGUCACGACUGGUUGGUGCGUAGAGAGGUUCUUGGCGACCUUUGGCUGGAAGGGCAUUCGGGCGUGUGCAUGUGGGGCAUCCAGCCCGCCUGCCACCGUUCCUAGUCGGGCAUCAGAAGUUGGCCUGAAGUGAUUUGGGCUGGGACGUGUUUCUUCAGGCGAGAAAUGCAAUGGGAAGCCAAAAUUGCAACUAUGUGGGAUUAUGUUUGGGCUUCCCAUUACACAUUCUGGGCAUUCAAGGCCCAUGGGUUUUCUUAAAUAAAAUAAAAUAUUCUUCCCACCCUAGGCCCAUUAAAGGGCUCAAUUUGAGCAGCCAUUGUCUAAGUCCAUUUAUUAUUAUUAUUAUUAUUACUUGAAUCUUCAAAUUCAAUUUUUAUUAUUAUUAUUACUAUUAUUAUUAUUAACUCAACUUUUAAAAUCUAUAGUCUAAUUUCCUAAAGUUCAUUUAUUAUUAUUGUUAUCACUUAAAUCUUCAAAUUCAAUUUAUUAUUAUUAUUAUUAUUGUUAUUAUUAUUAGUAUUAUUAUUAUUAUUAACUCAACUUUUAAAAUCUAUAGUCUAAUUUCCUAAAGUUCAUUUAUUAUUAUUGUUAUUACUUAAAUCUUCAAAUUCAAUUUUUUAUUAUUAUUAUUAUUAUUAUUAUUAUUAUUAUUAGUAUUAUCAUUAUUAAUAACUCAACUUUUAAAAUCUAUAGUCUAAUUUCCUAAAGUUCAUUUAUUAUUAUUGUUAUUACUUAAAUCUUCAAAUUCAAUUUUUUAUUAUUACUUAGUAUUAUUAUUAUUAUUAACUCAACUUUCAAAAUCUAUUCAUUUCUUAUUAUUACUAUUAUUAUUAUUAUUAUUAAAAUUUAUAUUCCCGUAGUUUAAUUUCCUAAGGUUCAUCUCUUAUUAUUAUUAUUAUUAUUAUUAAUUCAAAAUCUAUAUUCUCGUAGUUUAAUUUUCUUGAAGUUCGUUUCUUAUUAUUAUUAUUAUUAUUAUAUAAUUAUUAUUAUUAUUAUUAUUAUUAUUAUUAAAAAUCUAUGUUCCCGCAGUUUAGUUUCUUAAAGUUCAAUUCUCAUUCACACUUUCAAUAUCUAUUUAUUAUUAUUAUCAUCAUCAUUAAUCCAAACUCUCAAGAAUCUCAUUAUUAUUAUUUUUAUUACCUCAACUUUCAAAAUCUAUUUAUUAUUAUUAUUGUCAUCAUUAAUCCAAACUUUCAAAAAUCUCAUUAUUAUUAUCAUUAUUACCUCAACUUUCAAAAUCUAUUUAUUAUUAUUAUUAUUAUCAUUAAUCCAAGCUUUCAAAAUCCUAUUAUUAUUAUUACUAACCCAACUUUCAAAAAUCUCAUUAUUGUUAUUAUUAUUAUUACCUCAACUUUCAAAAUCUAUUUAUUAUUAUUAUUAUCAUUAAUCCAAACUUCCAAAAAUCUCAUUAUUAUCAUUAUCAUUAAUUCAACUUUCAACAUCUAUUUAUUAUUAUUAUUAUCAUCAUUAAUCCAAACUCUCAAAAUCUUAUUAUUAUCAUUAUUGUUAACUCAACUUUCAAAAUCUAUUUAUUAUUAUUAUUAUUAUCAUUAAUCCAAAUUCUCAAAAUCUUAUUAUUAUUAUUAUUAUUAAUUCACAUUUUCAAAAAUCUUAUUAUUGUUAUUAUUGUCAUUAAUUCAGACUUUCGAAAUCUUAUAAUAAUUAUUAUUAUUAAUUCAACCUCUCAAGAUCCCAUUACUAUCAUUAUUAUAAAUUCAACUUUCAAAAGUCUAUGGUCUCGUAGUUCAAUUUCCUAAAGUCCGUUUCUCAUUUUCUUUAACAAAUUUUGAUUUAAUCACCGGAGCUCUAAUCUUCAAAAUGUAAUUCCAAAUACUCCAAUUUUCAAAUAAGCUCCAAUAAUUCAGUUUUCACUCGAAUAAUUUUUAAUCACAUUUCAGUUCCUAAAUAAUCUUCUGAUCUUCUUGAUUUUACAUAAGCAAUAGUGAUUCCUUCAUAAUUCUUAAACACGGGAUUUGUGAGAUUAGCUCAUGAGCAAUAAAUCGGGCUUUGUUGGGGCCCUAUGUUUAACCAUCUUUGACUGGCAAUUAUCGUGCUUACCGUAUUUUGCUUGAGCUCCGUUUUGCACUCCGAUAUGUAUGAGCUAUGUUUUGUAUUCAUUAAUUGUGCACUAAUCCCGUUUUUUUUUAUAGCGCAUUGUGGCUCGUGGCCGAGGUACACAUCCACUCCCUUUCUAGUCAAUCUCUAUUGCGUGUUUUGAUUCUCAUAUUGUGCAUGAUUUAGGUGGAUAUCCAUUGACUUUCUCGUUGAUUGCCACGUCAGUCUCAUUGUAUUAGUAGAGACCCGACUUUAGGGGCUUAGAGGGGUGCUACGGUCUUUACCGUACCUUCCCGAUGAGUAACCUGACCCCCGAACCCGAUCCGGUUUUUCACAGACCACCUUUUCCAAAACAAGGAGCCACACUUAGGGUUUUUCUUUCUUAUUUUGUUUACCCUUUUAAAAAUAAAACAAAAAUAAGUGGCGACUCCAAGUCAUUUUUCAAACAAUAAAGAUCAAUUUUUCGAAAUCAAAAUCGAGUUUCGCCAUCGAGUGGGAAACGCAUGAGCCGAAAUGCGGGGUCCACACUUAGUUUAUCCAUCAAUUGGGAGUCUUGUGCUAAUAUAGGUGUCAUCAAUUGCAACAAUACAAUCCUACAACAAAAUAUAUUUAUUAUCAUUAAGUAAAGAAAACAAUGGCCAUGAAAACUUCUUAUGUACACAAUGUUCAAAUUUAUAAAUAUUAUUUAUAAAAUCUUACGUUUAAUCAUAGAAAAUUUCUCUACCUAAAGCCCAAUAUAUUAUCUCUUUCACUCUUUUUGUUCAUAGUUCUAGAAGUUAAUCCCAAACAAUGAGUUUCCUAAUUUUAAUUAGACUCAAAAAUAGUAAUUUAACCAUUCAAAAAUAAAAAUAAAUAAUUUGAGUGAAAAUUACAAAAGGCCUAGCUGUAGUGUUAUGAUUCAAAUAAUUUGGAAUAGGAAUGCAAAGGCCAUUUCUCUUCAUCUGCAAAGCUCCAUUCCCUGAAGCUUAAAUGAUAAUUCUCACAAAUUAAAAAGGCCUUGUAGAGUUAAAAUUUGCUCUUCAUCUGCAAAGCUCCAUUCCCCUAAGCCUAAAUGAUAAGUCUCACAAAUUAAAAAGGCCUUGUAGAGUUGAAAGUGAAUUACAAAUUUACAUUUAUUUAUUUAUUUAUUUAUUUAUUUUUGACAGAGUUGCAAUCAUUCAACAUCAUCUUCCUCGUUAAAUUAUAUGAAGUUAAGGUGAUAUUUGUUUUUUAAAAUUAAUAUUGAAUGUAAUUUGCUUUUAGACGGUUUGUUUUUAUUUUUUCAACUUAUUACUUAUUUUUUAAUUUUUUUUAACUCAAUAGAAAAAGUCAAGGGAUUUUUUGCCCAAUACUAAAAAUAACUUUUUAAAAACACAAUCUCAACAUUGCCUUGGUCUUAUUAAUACUUAAUACUUAAUAGAAAUAAAAUAAUGAAAAAACAAACAACUCAAUACUUGAUACUAUUAAGUUAUUUUUAAAGUUAAAUUAAGUUUUAUUUAGAUUUAAACAAUAAAUAAAUAAAUAAACAAACAUCACUUUUAAGUGUCCAACCAAAUUAAGACUUGAAAACUAAAAUAUUGCAGAUUCACAGCCACCACCGCCGCCGCCGCCGCCCCCCCUUGGAUAUUUUCAAUUUGAUAAACACAACACAAAUCAAGAAAAAUUCAACCAACUUUUCCAAACCCUUGGCAUUCAUUUGAUUCAAAUGCAAUCAGAAGUGACACAACUUCACCACACAACACAACACAACACUUUGAGCUUCCUUGUGGUGCAAAUGGCAUUAGAACAGCCCCAACAGGGCUUCUAUUUCACCACAAGGAAGCCCAAGUGUCGUAUCCCGAUCCCCUCUAAUCUUAUACUACUCCCUACCAUACAAAUUCUAAGAAGUCUUUCACAAUCUUUAAACACAAUUAAAACAAAAAACCCGAUUUAGAGGUCUAAUUAUCAAUAAUAUAAAGAUCAGGACAUAUGAAUAACAAGUUUAAUCCACAUUAUCCUACUAUGAAUAAUGGAAGUGUCGUCAGUUUUCCAACCCCAUACUAUGACCAAAUUUAUUAUCAGGAUUUGGUUUUGAAAGAAAAAUUGCACCAACUCAUUUCUGAAGUAAGAAGCUCCAAAUAAGGGAAGAGGCUACACUGCAUUCAUUUACUGUCUACUUAAGAUCAUUCUAUAUGAGAAUAUAAGUGAUGUUUGUGGAAGACAAUAAGCUAGAUUUGAUCAAAAUUUUGGAGUGGUUUUUUCAGUCAAACAUGUUGCUUUCAUUUUUGAUCUCCAAGAAACAGUUCUGUUUGCACUUUCUAUAUGAAUCCGAGGCAAAUAAAUCAGAAUCCCUACUUUUGAAAUUGAAAUAUUCUUAUUCAGUCUACACUGUUCUUUUUGAUACCUUAAAAUAUUUCACCUGAGGUCUGUAUACAUCGAUCUUUUCUGAGAGGCUAUGCUGUGAUCUGAAUUUUCUUUGUUGUCAAAAUUGAGGUUUCAUGGCCUUUAUCCUUUUCAACCAUAGCCUAUCUAUUGUGUGUCCCACCGGGGAAGGUUCGCAGUUGCUUCGUUCACCAUCUUCACAAGAGUCACCUGCAAAUGUGAAAACAAAUAGAGUCUUAUCAUGAUUUCCAUCAUAAUGUGCAUAGAAUGAAUUCAUAAUUGGACAGUGCGAGUAAAGAUCCCAAAACACAGUAAAGAUGAGCAUAAUAAUAUGCCUGAGUUUAAAUAACCCCCUUGAUCCUCCUCUUACACAAACUCUAAAUGGAGGAAUCAUAUUUUUUGUACUUUGUCCCGAUGCUCAUCCUAAUACGAACAGGGUUCUAAAUAAACUCCUUUCACUUUAUUGUGAUACCUUCCAAUAGCACCAUUCAUAUUUCAUCAAGUUGCUCGACUUCUAUAGCCAUGCACUUGUGGCAAUGUGGCUAAACCAAACACGGUCUAAAUGGAUGAUAUCUUUGCAGAAAGGGAAAAUUUUGUCAAAGUCAACUGUUCUUCAAGGAAUCCAUCCUCCAAACCAAUUUAUCUAUUAAUUUUUUUUUUAAUACAGAAAAAUUCAAAGAUUAUUGUUCCCUUGAAUUUUCUAGCUCAGAUUCAUCUUUUGAACAAAACAUGCUCCAAAAAGGAACACUAAGUAGUAGGCAGUUUAACUGAUCCAGUGAUGGAUCUUCUCAGGCAAAUCAGUCCUCUUAUUCCACAAAAUUAGCAUUGCUUAAAACUAUCAAAUGGCUCAUUGUUUUCACAACAUAUUUCCACCAGCCUUCUUGUCCAAUUAAGUUAUUCAUGAUAUGGCUUUUUUAAUAACUCAAAAAUCCACCAGUCCUGCUUGCAAGACCAGGGAAAUGCACAGAUACAGAAACCACACCCUAAGAACUAUACGUUACUUCUCCUACAUGUGUGCUUGACAUCAGUAUGGUGCCAGCCUGACAAAGAUUCUAUGCUUUUGUUCAUUCCUUGAGAAGUGAGAGGUGAGAAUUCUCCCUCUAGUAUGAGAAGUGAGAAUAUGCUACCUAUUGGGUAAGGAAUAAGAGGUGCAUAUACCUCUUAUUGCAUGAUAUACAAAUGACACUCCCUGCCAGUGAAUUAUGUGGUAGCUUGCAUGUAAAUGAUGUGCUAGUGAACUCUAGAGAUGCCAUGUGGUCUCAAUGAUAAGAGCGGCUCCCCAGAUGAAGUUUUGUUUGCUAUUGGUAUGAAGAGUUUGGGACUCUCAACUUGUUAUUUCUCCAUGAGGUCUCAAGCUCACCUUUCUCAGCUUGUCCUGAGCUCUAUAAGGUGUCAAGCUGUUGUAGCUCCAAGAAUCAAGCUUGUUAAUAAAAGAACAGAGAGCUGAGUGUGCAGCAGCAUGCAGCAGUGUGCAGCAGCGUGCUCCAUGCACAGAAUCCAUGGAGACCUUAAAGCCUUUCUUGUUCUUAGCUCUAAUUUCUUCUGUAGCUCUUUGUUUCAAUUAAAGCUCUCUUCAUCUAGUUUGAAGUUUGAACCCAUCUGAUAUACAGAGGAAUAAGACAGACAUAUUCCCGAACUCUUCAUACAACCGCCAAAUAAAACUUGUUUCAUGAAUUAUCCUUAGCAGGAAAAGCACAUGGCAGCACUGCAACUCACUAGCACACCAUUUAUAAACAAGCUACCACAAACUAGGCAAGAGGAUGUGAUAUUUGUACAUGACGGAAAAGGGGUGCAAAUGCCUUCAUUUCUUACCCAAUAAGCAAUAGAUUCUCACUUCUCAUACUUAUGAAGAGCUUUCCUCCUCUAACCUUUACUUUCUUGGGAAAUUAACAAAAUCUAGCUGACGUGCAAGGGAAGCAAUCAAAUCAGUUUCUAAGUCUGGCCCAAAGAUCAGAAGCCUCAACUACUAAAAAGUCCUCUAGAACAACAAAGCUUUUGAUUUAGUAAUAGGCAAGUGAUCACCUUAGGAUGAUUUCCCAAAUCCAUAGGUUGAUCAAAAUUUUUUUCUUUAAUGUGGCGUAACCAAUAAAUAAAUGCAAAAACAAACAGGUUACCCUUUUCAUAUGGUUUUUGAGAUUUCUUGCGUUGUGAGCAUGGCAAUGAUCCCAUGCACUUCAUUUCAUAAAAUUUCUUAAAAAUGAAAAACAUUAGUAUCUUACAUGUCUAUAAAAAUCGAAGCACUAAAAUGACAAUCUAAAACAACAUUAAAGCCUACUGAAGACAAUAAAGAAAAAAGAACAAUGCACAACAAGAUUAAUGUGCUUCAGAAAACCCAAAGUUGUGGAAUAAAAUCCUGCCACACCCUUCCCAAUGACAUAGUGAAAAGGAGGAUAUGAAAGGCUAAUCAACCCAAGCACCAAUAGUAAAAGAAUUUGGGCCUCAAAAAAUUGGGCCCAAAAAAUCCAACAUGGUCAUACUAAAAUCUCUCUCAAAUUUUGCUCAUAAGGUUGAUAACGAUACUUUGCAACCCUAGAUAUCCUUAUUCUUACAUGUAGUGAGCAAGAUGUUUUUCUCUAUUUCCCUAGCAUUGUCUUAGUCCUUGAACAACUAACUAAAGGCCCAUUUAGAUAGCUUUCCUAUUUUUGAAUUUAGCUUAACACUUAAGUUAAAGCCAAAAUCAAAACUUCAAAAAGGUAACACUGAAAUAGCUUCCUGCAUAAGCCAAUAGAGUUUUUUUUUUUUAAAAAAAAAAAAAAAAAAGUACCCAGUUUUUCUAAUUUCCUUAUCAAACUCUUUUCAAGUCGUAAGCUCUUUCAACAAAAUUAACUAACUAAAAAGGGUAGGAGCUCUUAUUAAGCUUACAAAAACUAAUCCAAACAAGGCUUAGAUAAGGUAAUGGUUGGCAACUUGGUACUACUUGAUACUAACCUCAUUGAUACCCAUCAUAAAGUCUUUGCUGAAGAUGAUUAAUGACAUGAGAAUUUCUCAUACAAUGUAUGGACCAUAUGGCUACAUUGCAUUGUGUUUAAGGUUGGUAAGAUAUCAACCAAAACAUUGUUAGGCAACAAGAUGCAAUCUAUUUUCCUGCUUUCCAUCUUUCUCCUUCCUAAUUUUCUUCUUCUAUCAAAAACUACUUAUGACAUCUUAGGAGCCUACUUUGCCUCAAUGUGCAUCACAUCACUGAACAAAUCUGCCGAAGUACCAUGAUGGGAGGGAUUUCACAUGUACAAAUGAGCAUUCCAUGAGAAAAGCUCCAUAAGAACAAGGAAAUAUAAAUAGUAAUACCAAAAAAGAAAAUUUCUUUGUUCUCCAGCCGAUAAUAAUGAACAUAAAAUAAAGUUAAAACACCCUUGUUAGGCUCCCAUUAACAGGGAUGAUAGAGGAAAGGGAGAAAAAACAUAGCUAAAAGAAAACAAGACAAGAAAAAUUAGUAUUAGAAAAUGAAAUUUUCAUUUGAUGGUUAACCCAAAACAACUAUACUAUGAAGAUAGAAAUCAAAAAGUUAAAACACACUUGUUAGGCUCCCACUAACAGGGAUGCUAGAGGAAAGGGAAAAAAACAUAGCCAAAAUAAAACAUGAGAAGAAAAAUUAGUAUUAGAAGAUGAAAUUUUCAUUAGAUGGUUAACAGCAAACAACCAUACUAUGAAGAUAAAAAUCAAAUACCAGCAGUAUAAACAAUUGCCAGUGGAAUCUGACUUCAAUUGUAAGUAGACAGCAUACAUGGGAACAAUGUAUAUGAAAUGUGAAGGAGUCACCAUGAACAUACCACACUUUCAGGAACCCCUGGAGGCGGCAAGGAAAGGUUUCUAGGAGGAGGUCCACGUAGGUAUGAUCUCUUGUCAAAUCGCCACUCUCCAAUUUUCCCAUAUGUCAGCUCACCCUGAAUAUCAAGAAACUUUGAACAGAUAACCACAGAACCAAUACCACAAAAUGCGAACUUAGGGAUACCCAAACAUAACGAUGAUAAGAGCCAGUAAUAGAUAAAAUAGUGAGAAUAUUAGAAGGAAUAAUGUCCAAGCCCAGGAAAAGAAAAAGCAUGCUUGAAGAAUCGAGAAGAACAACAAAUAAGAUGAGAUACACAGUUGUAGUUGGCUAUGAGCUUCUCAUAAUAUGAGGAAAUGGGAUGGAAGAAGGUACUUUACCUUUAAGUUGUAGUCACAUCCAUAAGUGUAGUGAAUAAUAAACUUCUUUGCAGUUUCUAAAUCCCAUGGUGGCUGAAAAUUUAAAAUUACAAGGACUCUUCAAUAUCAUCUUCUAUAUACAUGUACUAAUGUUGUCUCUGCUGGAUAAUGCAAAAUACUUGGAACAUAGACUAUAUCAUCAAAAUUUAAAAUAUUAGAUGCCAAACCUGCAACAUAAAGUCCUUCUGAAGAAUAUGCUGCACGCCAUGCAAGGCAGAUGCUACUGCAUAUGCAUACCUUUGUUCAAGAAAGGAAAAAAAAAAAAAAAAGGUUGUUACUAACACCAAAAUGUGCUAGAAUUAGCUGGAAUACCAGGGAAAAAAAAGGCUGUUUCCAUGUGGAAUUUUGUCUCACAUUUCUAGCACCCAUCCAAAUACUUUAUCAGUUUCUGGGUCAUCUUUCAUUCUCAAAGAAACAUUCAUCCAUGUAGGCGCAAUCUUCUCCAACAACUCCUGCACGGGACAAUUAAGUAAACCAAAAUGUAAUUCACAUUUUUACAGAAAAAAAAAUGAGGGAGCAAAAAAAUAAAGAAAGAAAGUGCGGCUUUUGGAUGUAGAGACACUGUAAUAAUAAUUAUAAAUUAAAAUGAUAAUAAUAAAUAGUGAGAGUAGAAGUCGAUUGGUUCCUAGUUGAGGGCCCAAAACACAUCUUUCUCCCUUUUAUUCCAUUAAACCUAACUUAUAUCAAUUUAAAUUAAAAGGGUAAUAUAGUCAGUGAAAAUUUCAAUAUUAUAUUACUUAUUUCAAAUUGGCCAAACCACAUCACUCUAGCACCACAACUUAAAUAUUCCUCUCCAACCCACCAAUGGCUAGUUUAUAGUUGGAACAUGCAAGUAUCACCUGUGCCACCACUAAAAGUAAGAACAAAGUAGAAGGCUAGCAUCAUCAUCAUCUGAUCAUAAUUUUAAAUAACUAGCAUAAAAGGGAUAUAAAUGUUUCAAUAAUUAAAUGGCCCACCAUUGAAGAUAAAAUCAGGUAUCAGUAGGUAACCUAGCAACAAGAAACUUUACCCUCUUGAUAAUUACAGGAGAGUUGCCAAUUGGAUCAACAUUUGUCACAGGGCCAUGUUCCUCAGGAUAGAACUUCCUUAUUAUUUUUUCAUUUUGAACAGGCUUAAUGUAGAAAAAGGGAUAGGCAGCUGGAUAGUCUCCAUGUGCCAAAUUAGGCAGGGGCUUUAUAAAUAUGUGAUCAGGCUCUGCCAUCAGUAUGUAUCUGCAGCAGUAAGAGUAAAUAAGCUUUAGUAUCUGUUCAGAGUCAAAUGCAACCGAGUUCCAGGUCAACAAAUAUAUAGAAACUCACUCUUCCUCAAUUGUAGCCUUUUCCAGCCAUUGCACAAAGGCCCAUGGUCUGUUUAGGACAAUGUAUCCCUGGAUACAGCAUUUGUAAACCAUGUCACGAAAGAAACAGUAAAUCUAAUAUCUUAAUAAUUUAAGAGACAGACUAACAAUUAUCAUUAGCGUACAUCUGAUUAAAGGAGAAUAAGAACAGCAGAAAGAACAUCUAAUAAUUUGCCAGCCUAGAGGUAACCUGGACAUAUUCUGGCUCUUAUUGGCUAACUUAGAAGCAGAGGAUUAACACUCAACUUCUGUUUGAACUCCAGAUACUUCAUGGAAAUUACUUAAAUUGGAGUUUACAACAUCUUAAAAAAAUUGUAAAGAUUCAAGGUUUUAGCCAUGAAAUCUCAAUUAAAGAAAUCUCAAUUGAAGUUUGGCCGCUUUAGAGUGAAACAUAAUGAGUUGAUGUUAAAGCCAUGGUCAUAAGGAAUGCCACCAUAAAUAACAUUCAUUGAGAGACAAAUCAAAAGGCUGAAAGUAUAUAGAAUUCCUGCAAUUAUCUGUCUUAUGUAAAAUGAACUAUCAGGAGCAGGCACUGUGGAAAUAUUUUAAAGAAAUCCUGAAAUGUAAGAACUUUUUCCACAAUGUGUGGUACACAGUCAACUCAACUCAACCAAGUCUUAUCCAGUACCUUGUGUUCUGGUGUAUUAUCCAAUACUUACCAAACCAUUCAAGAAUACAAAUGUCGGAAUGACAACAUCUGCUCCCUGAUGACAUUGAUUUCCCCAUUUAGAUUGUCAUGUUGGGAUUUUAUUUGACAAACUCCACAUAACCUAGUCAGUGCAUACCACCCAUCCAGUUUGCAAUGUCUACACAUCAUUAUGACCAGACCAUCAUCCAUGCUAUAUUCUGCAACCUAAGUGCUAGGUAGAUAAGACAGUUCUCCACUAGAAUGGCACCAAGUGUCCUUUCCCUCCUGCUGGAUGCACUAAGUGGCCAACUCCAUAUUUCUUCUUGUGUUUAUCACCUCCCUAUCGCCUCUUGAGUCACAAUGCUAACCAUUUAGGUACAAAUUUCUACCUAUGAAUGGAUGCCUGAAUAUUUCAAAUAUCCAUGAGAUAUGGAGGCCCACUCAAAGUGGAUGGUAAGGAGUCCAUGGAUUUAGAAGGAAAUACUGUUUCAUUCCUAUGAACCUUGAGUAGCUUAGGCAUGGGAGAGCAUUUUAGAAGUAGCCUAGGGAUCUUGCUUUAAUGACUAGAGUUAGAGAUCCAUCAAGAAGCGAUUAACAUGAAUCAAGCCUAUUCCAGCCUGCAUAAGUAGGAGAAAUAAUCCACCAAUAUCUACAAGACAUGCUACCAUCAGAAAUGUCCAUGUCAUCACACGGGGAUUCAUGGGAGUCACUGUUUACAAGCACUAUAAAAAGGCUUAAUGUUUUAUGGCAAAUGAGUAACAGAACUCAACCUUGCUAUCCUAGAUAUCAAUAUUAUCUUUUAAUCUGCUGAUGAUUGUGAGUUUCUCAAAAUGGAGCACCCUCACUAUACACUCCUCAGUCCUCUCCUUUCUCCUCUCAAACUUUGACAGAUCAUUGCCUAACAUGGUUGACCUCCUCUAACCAAGAACCCAACACAAUAUUUUGGUGCUUCCCUGGGAAGUUAGUAUAAUAAGAUGGUGACACAGGAAAGGGUCCAGUAAGUCUUGUCCACCUCUACCUUGCACAUUUGACCACAAAGAGCUCCUAGUUGCACUAAUUCCAACUCUCAUCUCUCAAGCACAAACCCCACCCAAACAACUUCUAACUUCUUUUACAAAUUUAUUCCUGAAUUCUACAUAUUAUUCUAUGUGCCUAACAAUUCUUCAAUCACAAAUCUAAAGCUAGGAAUUGAGCUUUUGCAUGAGAAAAUAACAGUAACCAGGUAAAGAAAAACAUAUAGAAUAAUGUGUUCCUAGUUACAUGGAGCUUGCUUGCAAUUUUCCAACAACCUAAAAGAAUGCCGUUAUACAACAAAGAAUAUAAGAAGCAAAGAUGUAUAAUAACAGAAGAAGAUUUCUCACCCGAUCCAAACCUGCAGGAAGAGGAUCAACCACAAAAGUAGGAAUCUCUUCCAUCAGGUUAUCAGGACUUCCUGAAUGCAGAAUCCUUGUAAAUCCUCCCAUCUCUGAUCCAGGCAAGUCCUUUUUCUUCUUGUACCAGUAGUACAUUAUGCGACACUGCCAUUUGCUGUAAGGAGCAUCAGUUGCUGUUAGGGCAAUGUGGAAGGGCAACUUGGCAUUUUUUGGUUUUCUCACAUUCUCAGGCAUCUCUAUAAUUGGAUCAGAUAAUAAGCGAUGGUCUGAUUCAUCAACAACCAAUGUCCCCGUAGCUCUAUUAUGAAUUGUCAUUGUUAACAAGUUGUAUGUCGCAAAGAAAAACCCAAGAGACAAAACAACCAGAAACAGUGGUGAGAUACGUGCCAUGGCCUUCCUCACAAUCAUUUUUUUAUCAUAAAGGAAACAGAAUUCUAAUCCUCAGAGCCAAACAAACCAAUUCUCCUACUUGAAACAACUAAUGAAGAAAACCAUUAGCUUGAUGACACUCCUCCAGUUCACCAGUCCAUGAUAUCAUGGAGCCACAGUUUUAAAAUCUGAUUUAUAUGGGAGAACUUCCAAGCACUUUUUCAAGAUAAAUGAACAAAAAAGAAAGCUUUAACAAGCUAUCUGCAAAAGAAAAUAAUAAGGAUGGGUAUCAAUAAUAAGGAAGAAGAUCAAAUUAAGAUAUGCAAGGUGUAUGUCAAUAAAGGCAGAAUUUUUCAAACUACAAUGAUUCAAAAUUCUCAUAAUUCAUAUAUAAGAUGUUCAAAAUGAAGUCAUUAACCCAAAACUCAUUCCAAUGCAACAGUAUUUAUUAACAGAAUUUUAUGCAUAUGCCUAAAAACCAAUUUUUUAAAAGAUGGCUGCAAAAAUUCAAGCUCUAACAAAUACUUUUCAUAAUCAUAGUGACACAGGAGUGUACUUCUACAUGGUCCAAGAAUCUGAGUCAAAGGGGCUUCAGAUUCUCACAUUAAUUUCCUAAGCUUCAACCAAAUUAGAACCAGAUUUUGAGAAAUCUUUUGGAGUAAAGCUGGUGUUGAUCUGGCAGAUUUUUGGUAAAAUGGUUCUACUUCAUUCAAGUCAACUGGGAAUUCCUAUUUUUACCUCUCCUUUUCUUACUUUCAUUAAUUUCCUAGGUGAAAUUGCAGUCCAUCAGUAAGUCCUUAAGAUGUGAUCUAUUUUUCAGUUAGAAAGCUUCUUGGAAUUCACCUAGUUAGUUAGUUUGGUGUUGAGAAUGUAAGUUAGCUGCUUUGGAAGCCUAUGCUUGGAGGGUUGUUCCAAGUGUAAGCUAAAUAAGUCUUUUGAAUUGUAUGGGAGGGAGUUUUUUGCUGCUUGAAAAGAAGAUAUCUUCAGUUCAACAGAGAGUACUUUUCUCAAAGAACUCUGUAUCUCUUAGGUGGAUUCUAUUGACUGGUGGGUUCCAGAUUUUCAAUGGACUCAAAGGGUGGUGAUUUCCAUAUCCCUGGGGAGUUCAUUGUAAUCUUAUCCUCUGUUUUCUCCAUCAUUCUGGUAUCACAUAGGGACAAGAUAUCCAUGUGAUGCAGAUUAAUUUAAGGUACACAAGAUUCACAGAAAAGAACAUGAAAGGAAAUUUCAGACCAUAUCUGUUCAAAAUGCUCAUUAAACCUACAAAAUUAAUAGCAAUUCCCCAGUAUACAGCAUAACAUGGAAGCAAUUAUAAGAAUACUAGUUCUAUAUGAACAACUUUAGAAAGAAAAUUUCCAGGAGAUAACACAGAAAAACAUAAGCUCUGAGAAAAACCUACACAAAGAUAAGGGAAAAUUUUCUAUGUGAUGAAGGACUAAGGUCAAGUUGAGGUGAACAAAGUUCAUUAUACAUGCAAGAAAACUAAAACUAGAAUGAUGAAAAAAUUGUUUCAUAUUGAAGAGCAAAGUUAUCCAGAAUAAUUGACGGAACUCGUCAAAGGAUUCAAACCCAUAAAACCUUUUCCAAUUCUCUCACCCAGAACAUAACCUGAAGCACUAUCAAACAAUGUCUUCCUAUCAUACAAAGACUAAACAAUUUUUAAGCAGAUACCCAAAAGGUGCAACCUUGAACAAUGAAAAUGCAUUAAAAAUAAAAACCAAAAUAUCAAUGUGCUACAAUCCAAAAUGGAUCAACAAAAAAUGAAAUUCACAGAACUAACACUACGAGAUAAUUGUGAUUGAUCAGAUCAAACAAAACUCAAAAGAACAAGCCACCAAUCAUUACAAUUAUAGCAAUACGAAGAAGAAGAAGAACCAUGAAGGAUUGAUGAAUUCUGGGUCAAACAGAGAAGUGAGGUCAAUAUUUCCUCAAAAAUCCAAACUUGAGAACUUGGGUUUAGAAGUCUACCUGAACAGACCAAAUGGGCACCAAGAAAAAUAGAAAAAAGAGCUAGAACAACAAAAACUGGAGCAACUAGAGCCUAAAUAAACAUGGGGUUGACGCAGUGAUUAAAGAAGGAGUGAAGACGAGAGAGAAACAAAUGUAUGAGAGUUGUCAGCGAAUUAAGUGAAGGAGUUAAAGAAACAGGGCAGAAAAAUAAAUUUGGAAAUAUAGUUAUUGAGAUCAGAGGGACAGGGAGAGAGAGAGGCAGAGGCACAACCUGAAGGUGUCUGAACACAGCAGGAAAAGAGAGAAAAAGAGAGAGGAGAGUGUUUUUUGGAUCCGGAAUUCAUAUUUGAAAAGUAGGUCUUCUGCUUGAAGCUUUCUAAAGUCGUCCCUGUCCCUUUUCCCUUUACAGAAAUAUUUUACAUUUUCUUUUAUUUUAAAUUUUCAUUAAUUAAAUUUUUAUAUUUCUUUUAUUUUUAUCUGAAAUCAGAAUUCUGAACAUUCCAAUGCCUUUUACAUUUAUUUUUAAUUAAAAAAAUAAAAAUAAAAACUUCCUUAUUAAAAUCAAAAAUUUUUUUUUUUUUUUUUUCUAAUUUGACUUUAGCAUAUGCCAAAUGUCGGAACAUGGUGGAUGGCCACUAAGGAUAAGAAGCUCAUCAUUAGUAACGAUAACGAAUAAAACAAUAAUCAAGUCAAAACUGUUUGAUAAAUAAUUGAUUGUAAAAAGGGCAAGAAUAAUAUACAUGACCAAGGCCCCAAUCCAAAACUUUUUGGGCUUUCGAUUAGGCUGAAAUUUUAGGCCCUGUUUGGUUUGUGAAAUAGGAGGAAUGAGAAAAGUAAAUGUAAUAGGACUAUUCCAAUUUUUUAUGGUAAGCAAGUUAAGAGAAGACUAUUAUGGUCUAUUUGGAACUGUUUUUAAGAACAGUUUUUUGUUCUUUACAAUAAAAACCACAGAAAACAUUUUUGAUAAUAAAAAAUUAUUUAUAUUUUUUAUUCUUAAAAAUGGAAGGCAUAGUGUUUUUAAAAAAACGUCGUUUAGUUGUUGUUUUUUUGUUAUUUUCACUUAUUUUUUGAAGGUUAUUUAAAAAAAUAAUUAUAUAAGCAUGUAAAAUAAUUAAAAUAAAAUACUAGAUAUAAAAAUUAUUUUUAAAAUAUAUUUAAAAAUUAUUAAAAGGUUAAAAAUAUUUUAGGUUUUCAAACAGACUUCUCUUUUAUAAAAAUUAGAAACUAUUUUUAAAAAUUAUUUUUGAAAACAAUUAUCAACCAUGCCCUUAUAUUACAUUUAACAAUGAUUCUAGAAAGUAUUGCUAAUUUUUCUAAUAUUUAAAAAAUAAAAAUUUUCAAGUAUUAAAAAAAUUAAAAACAUUUUCUAAAAUUAUUAGCAAAUGCACUCUUAUUUUUAUUUAAGUGUUUGUAUGAUUUAUAAUUAAAAAUAAAAUAAUAAUUUAUAAAUAUUCUUUCAACUAAAUAAAAUCUAAUAUAUGGGUUUUUUUAAUAAAUAAAUGCUUAUAAAAUAAUUCUUGAUGUUUUUCCUAUAAAAUAUAUAUGUAGUUUAUAUUUAUUACAUUAUCUAAUAAUAGAAAAUAUUGUAUUUUUAAUCAAAUAAAUAAAUAAUUUCAAAAAAUACAUCGAUUAUAAUUAUUUUGAAAAUAUAUAAGAUAAAUAAUGAUUUUGUUUAUGUUUAAGUAAAGAGAUAUUGAUGUUGAAAAAAUAAAUAAUUUAUUAGAUUGUAAAAAUAUUGUUUUUAAGGUUAAAUUGAUAUAAAUGUUAACUAUUCAUAGGCUCAAAGGGUAUAUUAGUUAUUACUAGGUUGGAAUUAGUAAAAAACAUGGUAGGACACUUGUGGGAGAUCAUCUGUAGUUGGACAUAAUUUUUAAUUUCAAAAUAUUAAUUAAGGGAUAUUUAGUUGCUUAAAUAGGAUAUGAUAUAUAUAUUUUAGGAUAUCUUACCAUUUUUAAUGAAAUAUAAUAUUUUUAGAAAAUAUAUCCAAUAAAAAAGAUAUUAUACCUAAGAAGUAAUUUUUUUUUAAGGAAUGAAAAUAUGAUGUUAAAUAUAUAAAGAAAUUGUAUAUAUUAAAUAAUACAUAUAUUUUAUACCAUUUUUAUAUGAAUUUAAUUUUGGUUUAAUCAAUUUUUUUUUUUUUUUGGCAAAAACUUAAAAUAUUUCAUCUUUAUAUCUUUAGUACUAUCAUAUUAAAAAUAUAAAUGUAUUAAUAUUUUUUAUUUUAUUAAAUAAAAAUUUAUAAAAUUUAAUUAUUAAGAAGGUAAAUCAUAUAUCAAUUAGUGAAACAAAAUUUUAUUAUUUAUUUUAUUCACAUUUCAUUAACUUUAUAUAUAUAUAUAUUUUACAUUUCAUUAAUAUUUUAAUUUUAUGAUUUUGUGACUUGGUUUUGUAAAAUUCUAAUAGUAAAUAGUCAUUCUAUAUUUAUUGUAACCAUUAUCGAAUGCAAGAUGACUAAUAUUGAAUUCCAACUUCAACCUCAAAUUUGUUGAACAUCUAGACCCGCCUUCGAAGUUCAACAACAAUUAAGAUGGCAUUUCCAAAGCAUUCCUUUGGAAAUGCUCUGUUUUGUACGAAUAUAUAAGGUGUAAGAUGAGUUCCAAUUGUUUUUUCUCUAAUUGUUUUGUAUGAUAUGAUCUAUUUGGUAAACAACAAUUUUCCUUUGGAUACUAUUUUUUUUGUUAGAAAAUAUUUCAAGAAUAUUUUCAAAGUGUUAGUAAUUAUGACUCAAACUAUUUAUUUUUAUUUUUAUGAAAAUCAAUAUUUUUAUAGUUUAUAUUUGGGUAAAUUAUUGUUUUUGAGUUUGACUAGGAUUCAGAAAUUCAUUCUUUAGGGUUAGCCCGUGGGAUUUUGUAAAUAUAUAGCUUUAGAUAAAAUUUAAAGUGAGAGUUCAAAAAGGCAACUAUAAAAAAUGUCAAAGUCAUAAGAAGAGCCUAAAAAUAGGCAAUAGAUGUAUUGCAUGUGUUAAAUCAAAGCUUGAUUAAUCUCAAUUUUAAUGAUAAAAAAAAUAAUAAUAAGAUUUGAAUCUAAUGAUUAUAUUUAAGUGUGAAACACAAAAAGGUCUCUUAGGAAUCAUGAAGAAGAAUAUGCAUGAAGCAAACAAAGAAUUCAAGAAGAAUAAAAGAAAGUUUAUCAAGUUUAUCAUUAGAAUAUUUUAUGUAAGAUAAUGAGUGUAGAAAGUUAGGAUUAUAUAUUUUUGAAAGCAUCAAAACAUUCAUCCAUAAUUUUUUAAUUAGUUUUGCACUUUUAUAAUUUGGAUGAAAAUAUUUUUAAAGAUGAAAAGGCCUACUUGGACCUACCUAGCUUAGGAGACUACCUUGAAUAUCAAGUUUUUCAUAAAAAGUCUUUGAAGUUUUCUUAAAAGUAAUUCUCAACUUAACCAAGAUGCACUUAAACUUUGAAAACAUAUUCUUAAGUUUUAAAAGAAUUUGUUGGAGAAUGAUUGUAGCCCAAAACUCACUCAAACUUGCAUUUAUUUCAAGUUAGAGCACAUGUGGAUAUCAAUGUAGACGACCGCUUGCCCUAUGAUGUGGGUUUUUGGCUAGUGGAAGGGAUGUGGAUGAUCACUUGCAUUGUGUUAUGAUUAUUGGCUAUUGGAAGGGAUGUGGAGGUUCACCUUGACGAUCACUUAGUAAUGUGGAUAACCACCUAGGUUAGUUUUUAAGAAUGAUACCCAGAGUACUACAAAAGUCAUAUUAACUCAUUCUCUAGUUUUUCUUAGACAAAGUUGUUACAUAAAAAGACUUAGUAUUUUGGACGACGAAGAAUUGCGAUCAAUGGAUCCAACUAAUAUGAAAGAAAAAUGUGUUUAGUGGGGAGACAAUGUAAAAGAAAAGGUAGAUCAUUAGCAUUGGUAACUUUGGUAAAAGUAUAUCUUCAUUAAGGUAAAUAUUCUCUUAAUUGUGAGUCUAAUUCAUAAAGUUCUUAAAGCAAUUUUUGAAUCAUCAUGUAGCUGCAUCAUAAAAAAAUUUCAAAUUUUUAUGGAUCAUUUAAGCGAAUUAUUGAUUGUUAUAAAAAAAUCAAUGGUUAAGACAAAUGCUUUAUAAAAAAGGAAAGUUUUCAAAAAAAUUUGAAGAAGCAUAUCUUGGUUUCAAAUGACUUAAACAAUAUCUAGAGAUAUUUGUUAUAUUUUACCAAUUUACCUUUUUUAUUUAACUUUUUUUUAGGUGUUGUGAUAUUCCCAACAAGUGGUAUCAAAGCCAUCAUGUGAAGAUUGUGAGAAAUAUUUUUGAAGAUUUUUUGCACAAAAUUUGAUAUUAAGCACUUCAAUGGAAAAGAAUAAUUUCAAUACAUAACAAAUUAUUGUUAAAGAUAUUUUGGUGCAAUUAGGAGUGUAACCAAAACCGAAAAAAUUGACAAAUUAAUUCACACCAACCAAAAAUCCAAUCAUAUUGGUUUGGUUUUCAAUAAUAAAAAAAUGUCAAUUUGAUUUGAGAAUUUUGAAAACUGACUUUGUCAGUUCAUUUUUCAAUUUUCUUAUCUCGCAACCAAUAAAAAUUAAAUAAAACCGAUAUUCUAAAACAAAGUUUCUUUUAUAUUAAAUCUAUUAAAGUAAUUCAUUGUUUUUAUAUUGUAGUCAAAAUAAUUUUAAAUGCAUUCAAUAUAUUUUUAACAUCAAAUCCAAGUUGGUUUCAAUUAAUUUUAAAAACAAAUUAGACUUAGAGUUUAAUAUAAAUUCAAAUUAAUGGGUUUUAGAUUCAAAAUAAACACAAAUUUAUAACUGAGUUGAGGACUAAAAAAGGCCAUUAAGUUGGGUUGAAACUGAUCUAUGAAAACCAAACCAAACAAUCUCAAAGGCUUGGUUUGGUUCAGUUUUUCACUAAAAAUCUAGUUGAUUUGAUUUUUAUCGCAUAUAAAACAGAUGAUAUUGGUUUGAUUCUUUUUUUACCCAAAAACCGAUUGAACCAACCUUAUUUACCUUGCUAGGUGCAAUAAAGACUUUUCAAAUUAUAAGGCAAGAAACUAAGGAAUAUAAGAUUAAGAAGAAUUAGGAACAAAAAUAGUAAACACUAUUUAUUUAAGUUUCUCUCCC
This 62002-nucleotide long non-coding RNA is filed under the name Vitis vinifera (wine grape). Its description in RNAcentral is "long non-coding RNA (VVIN_LNC004293)". Lineage: Eukaryota; Viridiplantae; Streptophyta; Magnoliopsida; Vitales; Vitaceae. The record is from RNAcentral.